Molecule: long non-coding RNA, 50601 nt
Filed under: Lathyrus oleraceus (garden pea)
Lineage: Eukaryota; Viridiplantae; Streptophyta; Magnoliopsida; Fabales; Fabaceae
Description: Pisum sativum (pea) long non-coding RNA (PSAT_LNC010000)
Source: RNAcentral
UUAUUUAGAGUGGUUCUGAUGAUAUAAAUUAUGAAUCACAUUUCAAUUGUAACAGAUUCUGAGUCAUAAUUAAUUUUUCAAUUUUGUUAGAAAGCUAAUUACAAAUUUCUUUUCUCUCUUCCAUCAUCUUCUUCAUCUUCAAUUUUGUGCUCCAACAAUUUUUACGCCGAAUUUUUACCCAUGUUGAGUUUGCAAUCUUUAUUUCAGUUACAAUGCUUCAAGAGAAUUAAUCGAUAUAUUUUAUUCUCUCAUCUCUCUUUAUUGCCAUACAAAAUCUUCUCAUUGCAAGUUAGUUAUCCCAACAAUGUAACCAUGUCUCUUAAUUAUAAAGAAAAUAAAAGUGAAAUGCAUUAAAACAAAAAUGAUCACUGUCACCAACAAUUAUGGUUCCAUAUAAACAUUACUAUAACUUACAAGUCAUGAGCAAAACAAUCAAUUAGGCAAUAUAUCACCUCUUCAAAAUAAAGUGAUGGAAAAAAAUCUCUUUACUUAUAGCUUCUAUAAAGUUUUUUUUUUAAUUCAGAUGAAAUUUAUGUUGAUGAUCAAUACCUGAAUUUGUGUUCUAUAAGAAAGUUUAUCUUAUACUAUUUGUUUUCCUGACAUUUCCAAAGCAAACAUAUAAAUCAAAUACUUGUUUUAGUUAAACAAUAAGUUGGAAGAGAAAAAAAGCAAAGGAUAAAACAGAAAAAAAUUACCUUGACUGUCUUCAACUAUACAAACGUCAAGAAUACACCUAAGCAAUAUUCUAUAAUAGUAGGAAAUUCCUGAUGCAAAUGUAUACUAUGUCCCAAUCACAUGCAUUUCAAAUUGAAGAGGAUAUAAAAAAUUCAAUACACCUAAGCAAGGUCAAUAAUGUAAUUAGAAGUAGGAGCAUCUAGAAGGUUUGAGAUUAAUGGAGAACACAGAAAAGUCUCACAAUACCAUGGGCUUCUUUUCUGCCCAAGGAUUUUGAAUUUGUGGGUCAAACCAACGUCAUAUUGUCUAGUUAUUAUUAGUAUUUUUUCUUUCAUUGAGUCUAUUAUGAUGAAGUAUGAAUGCCAGACACGGUUUAGUUUAAAGUUCAUAGUUUUAUUGUUUAUUGUUCACCUAAUUCUUUUGAGAAUGCCUACUCAAUAAUAAAAUAUUUAUUUAUGCCAAAUAUCUUCUUUCUCUGAUUUAAUAAGUUAGCCUUAUAUGCUUGUAAAAUUGCAAGUUAUUAAUAUAUUAAAUUUUGUCCAAAAAAAAAAAUAAUGUGCAAGUUAUUUAUAGUAUUUGAUUUAAUCAGAUAUGUUUUAGCUCAUCUUAUAAAAAGAAUACUAGUAUAUAAGUUGACACCUUAGUUUAUUAUUAACUUUUACGUCAUUAAUAUGUUUUUGAUAUUUCUGUUCGAUAAAAAAAAGAGGUAUUCACGAGUAUUCAGACAUCCAAAUCAAUGACAUUCGAAAGUGUGAGGUAUUUAUAAUUAGAAUAAUGUGUACAUUUACGUGAUGUCGCUUUAGAAUUUUAUGCACUUGACAUCUGUAAGACUGAAAAGAUGUCAGUGGAUAUUUCUAUGUACAAUUUGAUAGCCUGCUAGUUGCUAUGAUUAGACACUAUAAGAAAAAAAAAUGGUGACACAUAAGAUGCGACGGUUUUAUUAAAAUCGUCAUUCUCUAUAUAAAAAUUUGUUUAAACGGUCAAUGCUCUUGGAUCCUGAGAGUAUUAUUUGCCUACUUUGAUGUGGUUCACAUGAGUCGAUAACUCAUCUAUUUCGGACAUAUGAUUUGGCGGCGUCCAUCAUAUGAUUUUUAGAUGGUUUGAUCGAUGCUUAGUUCUUUCUAGGGACCUUUCGAUUAUUUUUCAAGUGUUUAGAUCGUUAUAUGGUAAGUCUUUAUUUAUGGGUGGAUUAUAUAUGAUUUGGUAUUGUGUAGUUUACUUAAUUUGAAAUUCCGAAAUGAUAUUGUUUCUUCUAAUUCUUCUACUAACGUAAAAGAUGUCGAAAAUAAUAGUAUUAUUUUGACUUGAAAAUAGUUUUUGGUUGAACUACGUAAAAUCUUGUGUUUUCUCUGUUUAGCUAGAGAAUUCUAUUUUUUGUCUGACUUGAUAGCAUGUUAAGUGUCUUGGCUCUUGAAGUGAAGUAUUCCUGCGGGUUUUCAAGAGGUUUUUUUUUUCCUAAAACUUUUUUAAGCUACGGAAUAAUUUCAGGCUGGGUUGGAUCUACCUGUAAAUGAACAUAUUCAGAUAAUUAAUGAUUAGUUUGUUUUUCAUCGAUGAGUUUGUGAUCGACCCACACCACUAUACACACUUAAUAAAUGCACCUUUGGAGUCAGAUCAGGGAAAUUAUUAGGGUUCAUAGUCAGCUAGAGAAGGAUCGAAGUUGAUAUUGACAAAGUCAAGGCCAUCCAAGAUAUGCCAGUCUCGAGGACAGAAAAAGAGGUUUGUGGAUUCCUAGGGAGAUUAAACUACAUUGCUAGGUUCAUCUCGCAUCUUACAGCCACUUUUGAACCAAUCUUCAAGUUGCUCCAGAAAGAUCAAGUCAUCAAGUGGAAUGAAGGUUGUCAAAAUGCCUUUGACAGAAUCAAAGAAUAUUUGUGAGAGCCACCUAUACUAAUACCACCAAUUCCUAGAAUACCACUCAUAAUGUAUCUAACAGUACUUGAUGAUUCAAUGGGCUAUAUGUUGGGGCAACAAAAUAAGACCGAAAGGAAGGAACAUGCAAUCUACUAACUGAACAAGAAAUUCACUGAUUGCAAAUACCGAUAUUCGCUCUUGGAGAAAACUUAUUGUGCUCUAGUCUGGGUUGCUCGGCUUCUGAGACAAUACAUGGUAAGUCAUACUACUCUACCGAUAUCCAUGAUGGAUCCUAUCAAAUAUAUUUUUAAAAAUACGGCAGUAACUGGAAGAAUAGCCCGGUGGCAGAUGCUAUUGACUGAGUACGACAUCUAAUAUGUCAGACAAAAAGCUAUCAAAGGAAGUGUGUUAGCAUAUCAUCUUGAUCAUCAGCCAAUGGAAGACUAUCAACCUAUACAGUUUGACUUCCCCGACGAAGAUAUUAUGGUCGUAAAAUAUUGUGAGAUCCCAAGUCUAGACGAAGGACCUAAAUUAGGAUCACGAUGGAAACUUAUACUAGACGGUGCCUCAAACGCAGAAGGACAUGGAAUCAGGGUUGUCAUAACUUCUCCAACAGGUUUCCAUAUUCCUUUCACAGAUAGGUUAUGCUUCACUUGUACUAAUAACAUGACAGAGUACUAGGUAUGCAUCCUAGGGAUAGAUGAAACCAUUGACCUAAGAAUCAAGAUCUUAGAAGUAUAUGGAGAUUUCGCUCUUGUCAUCAACCAAAUCAAAGGAGAAUGGGGGACUCAUAAUUCCAAGCUAAUCCGGUACCGAGACCCUGUCCGAAAAUUGUUCACCUGCUUUGAUGAGAUCAUUUUCCAUUAUAUUCCCCAGGAGGAGAAUUAAAUUUUACAUCAUAAAUAUGUUUUUGAUGAAUCUAGAGAGAAUACAUGUUGAUCAGUCAUAAACUUUCUUGUUUGUAAAUGUACUAAAUACUAGUACGAUGCUUCUAAUGUAAAUUGUGAACACGUUCAUUUUUUUUAAUAGAUGUGUUUACAAAGUUAACAGCUUAAACAUUUAUACAUUGAAAGGAUUUGUUUUUAAAAAAUCUAUUUAAUUCACAAGUGAGAAAGUAAACUAAAAUUAGAUGGUGAAAUUUGUUGAUUGAUUGGAUGUCUUGAUAUUUUUGUUCGAUCGAAAAAAGAGGUAUUCGCAAGAACUCAAACAUCUAAGUCAGCGACAUUUGAAAUUGAGGUAUUUAUAAUUAGAAUAAUGUGUACAUUUACAUGAUGCCGCUUUAGAACUUUAUUCAUUUGACAUUUGUAAGACCGAAAAGAUGUCAGUGGAUAUUUCUAGGUACAAUUUGAUAGUUGUGCUCCGGCUAGUUUCUAUGAACAAACACUACAAGAAAAAAUAUAUAUUUUGUGACACAUAAGAUGCGACAGUUUUAUUAAAAUUGUCAUUCUUCAUGUAAAUCUACUUAAGCGAUCAACGCUCUUGGAUCCUGAGAGUAUUAUUUUGCCUACUUUGAUGUGGUUCAUAUGAGUCGACAAUUCAUUUAUUUGUGACAUGUGAUUUGGCGGCAUCCGUCAAGUAUAUGACUUUUAGAUCUUUCGAUUAUUUUUCAAGUGUUUAGAUCGUUAUAUGGUAAGUCUAUAUUUAUGGGUGGUUUAUCUAGGAUUUGUAUUACGCAGUUUACUUGAUUUGAAAUUCCGAAAUGAUAUUGUUUUUUCUAAUUCUUUUACUAACGUAAAAGAUGUCGAAGACAAUAAUAUUAUUUUGACUUGAAAAUAGUUUUUGGUUAAACUACGUAAAACUCUUGUGUUUUCUCUGUUUAGCUAGAGAAUUCUAUUUUUUGUUUGACUUGAUAGCAUGUUAAGUGUCUUGGCUCUUGAAGUGAAGUAUUCUUGUGGGUUUUUAAGAGGUUUUUUUUGCCUAAGACUUUUAAAAGCUAUGCGAGUAAUUUUCGGCUGGCUUGGAUCUACCUGUAAAUGAACAUAAUCAGAUAAUUAAUGGUUUAGUUUGUUUUUCAUCGAUGAGUUUGUGAUCGACCCACACCCAUAUACACAAUUAAUAAAUUAUAUAUAUAUAUAUAUAUAUGUGUGUGUGUGUGUGUGUGUGUGUGUGUGUGUGUGUGUGUGUGUGUGUGUGUGUGUGUGUGUGUGUGUGUGUGUGUGUGUGUGUGUUUGAGAACUCCAGGGAGCGCCAGAAGAGUUAAUGGCGUAUAUGUUCAUGAUCCAAGAGACCUUGAAGAGACCUUGACGUCACAUAUCCACCAAAAACCUUAAGGCAAUUGGGGUAUGACUCCCCUCUCUAAUAAACCCAAUAUUUACUCCAUUCUUAGUCGAUGUGAGAGUUUAACACUUUCACAUUUAAAACCCAACAAUCACCUCACAAUUGUGAGUCACCCACAUCACUAGCCUUAAUCCAUACUAGGAUCCACAUCCGCUCCCCCAUCGAGUCAACCAGACUAUGAUACCACAUGUUAGAACAGAAACAUGAAUACAUACCAGAAUAGAGAGAACCACACAAUAGUUUUGCUUAUGCAAUUCGGCCAGUGAUGCUUAUUGCCUACCUCUACGAUUAUAUAGCAGCUAUAGUUCCCUUUAUGUAUGUCUUGUAAAGUGAUUAGAUUAUAGUGUUACAAGUCAUAUAUAUAAUAUCAGUUUUUAGUUUAUCUAAAACUCUAAUCCCUAGUUUCCCUCUAGAAAUAAUUAUCCAUGCCCAUAAUUAUCUCAACAAUAUGAGAUAUUCUCUCAACAACCUAUAGUUAUCUCAACAACCCAUAAUUAUCUCAAAAAUACGAGCUAUACUCUUAAGAACCCAUAGUUAUCUCAAUAACUCAUUGUUAUCUCAACAAUAUGAGCCAUAUAAAAAAAUUCUCCACCUUGGCAAAUAUCAAACCCCUAUGAGGAUUUCUUGAAUAAUGAUUCAUCCUGGAAACUAGGGGGAUACACCUCCUGCUUAACAUUGAGAAACAUGUAACAAGUCUAAACAGUGUUUAAACUUGUCAUUGGCUUAGUUAACAUAUCAGUUUCAUUCUCUGAAGUUUGAACCUUCUGAAGUAAUAUUUUUAUGGACGCCAACAACUCCCUAAUCUGGUGGAACAUCACAUCAAUAUGUUUGGUCUUGACAUGAUACACCUGAUUGUUCACCAAAUAAAUAGCAUUCUGACCAUCACAAUGCAACUGAACUCCACCUGGCUCAACACACAACUCUUUCACUAACUCUGUAAGCCCCAAUGCUUCUUUGGCAGCUUUAGCUAGUGCCAUCUAUUCUACCUCAGUUGUAGACAUAGCUAUUAUAUAUUGAACUGGUGAAUUUCAGCAUAUAGUCCUCCUUCCCCCCGCAAGAGUAAAGACAAUACCCUAUUGUAAACCUUAUAUCAUCUAGAUCACCUGCAUAGUCAUAAUCCACAUAUCCCACAACUAAUGGAACACCCUGCUUCAUGCUAAACAUGAUACCAUAAUCCAUUAUACCCUUCACGUGCCUUAGGAUUCAUUUUAUUACUUCCCAAUGUUGCUUCCCUGGCUUGGACAUGAACUUGCACACUUGACUAACUGCUUGUGUUAAAUUUGGUCUAGUGCAAACCAUAAUAUACACCAAACGAACAACUACACUAGAAUAAGGAAUCUUAGACAUGCCUUUAAUCUCUGAGUCCGUCUUUGGACAUUGUUCCAAAGAGAGCUUAAAAUAAUUCGCCAAUGGAGUACUUACAGACUUUGCUUUGCUCAUGUCAAAUCUGCUCAAAACACCUUCAACAUAGCUUUUUUGAAACAACCAUAUUUGAUUAGCUCCUUUGUCCAUGUGAAUUUCCAUCCCAUGGAUCUUCUUUGUAGCACCCAGAUCCUUCAUAUCAAACUUCUUACCCAACCUAGUCUUUAACUCAUUUACAUCAUGAAAUUGGUUGGCAUCAAUUAAAAUAUCAUCAACAUAAAGUAACAAGAAAAUAAAAGAACCAUCAUCAAGGCUCCUUGCAUAAACACAACGAUCAUAAUCACACCUUUUAUAGCCAAUCUGGAGCAUGUAUGAAUCAAAGCACAUGCACCACAUCCUUGGAGCUUGCAAACAAGACUUCCAUGUCCAAUAUCACUGAAUCCCUCUGGUUGCUCCAUGUAGAUUUUCUCCUCUAGAUUACCAUGGAGGAAAGUUAUUUUCACAUCCAUCUGCUCUAAAUGCAUAUUCCUGCUGGCUAUCAGGGACAAUACUACUCUGAUAGAAGUGUGUCUAACCACCAGACUAAAAAUAUCAUCAUAAUCAAUCCUCUUUUGUCGUGAAUACCCCUUUGCAACUAGGCGAGCCUUAAACUUUUCCCCUGAUUUUUUUGUUACUGUUGGCUUUUUCUUGUACACCCACUUGCAACAAAUAUCUCUAUUUCCAUGUGGUAGCUAAAUCAUAUCCCAUGUCUUAUUCUUUUUAAAGGACUUCAUCUCCUCUACCAUAACACCCAUCACUUAUCUUUCUCCUGGCUAGCCAUAGCCUCUUGAAAAGUAUAAGGGUUUCCUGAACUGAUAAGAAGAGCAUAUGAUGUUAAGUCUUAAAACCCAUAUCUCACUGGAGGUGUAAUACGUUGAGACUCCUUAUCACACAUAAGUGUAUAGUAUUUUACUCCAUCUAAAUCUUGUAUUGCACCUUAUUUGAACCUGGUUCAUCCUGCCGGUGGGCUACAAUCUACCUUGGACUCACUUGUGGCUCCUUAAUGCUCACUUGAAUCUUAUCCUGACUCGAAUUUUCUACCUCAUUCUCUUACAAAACUGUCACAUUUGUCUAUUUCAACAUCAAAUGUGUUAACUGAUAUUUUUGGUAAAUAAUCACUUAGUUUUGAAUAAUUACUUGCAGGAUCAAACUAGAAAAUCCUAAGAGAUUUUAUGCAUAAUUUUUGGAGAAUUUUUUUUCCAAGUGUCGUUGUGAGUUUAAAGAUAAGUGUCUUAUAAAGUAACAAGAAAAAAGUUUGAAAGUGAAAAGAAAUUAAAGGUUUCGACUAUGUCGAAAAUCACUAUCAAAAAAUUGGGAAAAGUAAUAAAGGGCAAAAAUAAUGUAAAGAAAAAAGUAAGAGUUAUUUCGAUUAAAUAAAUGAAAGUUGGUGUACAUAAUCAUACAUAUUCCGCACAAACUCAUUUCUCGCUCUGACUUGGUUACUUUGAGCUCUAUAGAGAUUUUGUAAUGAUAUUUCCACCUAAUAUCUAAUGCUAGAAUCACUAUAUAUUUUAAUAUAGAAAUAACCGCUUAUAACAAAUAUAUCUUCAACGUUCAACACGUAACCCUUUGUGUAACUUCCAGUCCUCCAACUUAUUCCCACGUGUCUUCAAUGUUUGGAUAAGAUCAAAAAAUAGUUAUUCAAUCUUAUCCUUUUAUCUUAUCUCAACUUUCAUGGUCGAUAGUUCAACUUGUCGAGUUAUGAGGAGAAAUAUUCUCAUAAUUCUAGAAAAAAGCUAAGUCUGAAAUCCAUGGUCAGUAUGUUGAACUCGAUAUCAAUGGUUGAACACUACUCUUGUUUCACAUAUAACCAUAUGUCAUUAUAUUUAACUAAGUAUUAUUUAAGCAUCAUAAUUUAUUUGUCGAACUUAGCACAUCAAGAAUUAUAUGCUAACAAAUUGUCCCUUAAAAAUGCUACUUUCAACCAUCUGAGAGACAAGUGGCUUUUUUUAAAAUUCCAACAUUAUUCGUAGUAGUGCGCUGAUGUCAUCGUCAGCAUAACCACUUUAUCAAAAUGUAUUUUCGAGAUGUGCACCUAAAAGAUUUUCAUAAUGGCUAUGUUUUCCCAGGAAGAGCAUGGGCUACACAUUAAAUAACCUUUUCCAUUCCAUCUCUGAAUGAAAAUAAAUUUGGACACUAAAGAGUGUCGCGUUUACUUUCAAGAGAGAGAAAAGGACAAAUGAAAAGUCUUUCUCAUAUGACUAUAAAUAUCCCAUAUUUCACCAUUUUUUCUUUUCCCCACUUAAUAUUUAAUUUUCCCAGUCUUUGCAAGACGAAAUCGACUUAUCUAGAGGGAGGUGAAUAGAUCCCAAGUUAAAAAACUUUACAAAAAUUAUUUUGAAAAUUUUAACGGCUAGCGGAAGUGACCUGGAUCGAAUCGUCUAAACCGAACCGCUAUUGAAAAACCCGGAAAUGCAUAUAUAGAAUCAAGUUAUGUUAAUGAGAAAAAAUUGAUCAAAAUAAUUUUAACAACAAUCACUUGAAUUCUACAAUAAAAGUAAAGUCUAUUUCCAAUGACAAAAUACACAAAAAUGCAAUUGAGAUAAAUUAUCGAACAUCUUGUGUGCAAUCAAUUUCGUUUAGAAUUUUAUAUGAUUUUGUUGAUUUACAAAUCCAACCAUAAUCUAAUAGAUUGUGAUCAAAUUAACAAAACCUUUUUCAAAAGGUUAUCAAAAAGUUUAACCAAACGUAUUGAUCGCAUAAUUGAUGAACUCGACAAUUAACAAAUGAAAAGUAACACACACACACACACACACACACACAGAGAGAGAGAGAGAGAGAGAGAGAGAGAGAGAGAGAGAGAGAGAGAGAGAGAGAAGAGAGAGAGAGAGAGAGAGAAAGAGAGAGAGAGAGAGAGAGAGAGAGAGAGAGAGAGAGAGACUAAAUUGGACGUUAUCAACACUGAUUCUAGAUAACACCCAAACAAAAAAUGAUUAUGUGUAAUUUGUUUGUGUGUAUGCAUAGAACAUGAGUUGAAGAUGGAGGGAACUCUUUGUAUAUUCCUGGUUUCAUAUUUGAUUUUCUCAACCCUUUGAAAUGAUGCAUGUAUGAAGUAUAUAUAUGUCAGUGUGCAAGUUGGAGGCAAAAAGGAAUGCAAUAGGUUUAGAAAGAAUGCACAUUUUUCAAGUUUUUUAAUGUAUGUGUCGACCUCUGCAGGUCAUGUGUCGACACGUUCGAUGCAUGUUUUGACUUGUAUAGAUCAUGUGUCAACUCAUAGAAUAAAAUUUUCUUCUAUGUGUCGACCUAAAAUCCCUCCAUAGUUGGCACAUCAAAUAGAAGUUACAUGCUUUAAAAUUGAACUACAAGUGUCGACUCAUAAUUCGUAUGUGUCGACUUAUAGAAGCAUUUUUAUUUUAUGUGUCGACCUUAAAUGAUUUAUAUGUCGACCCAUACAUUACAUAAGUUACAAUAUUUAAAAUGAUCCACAUGUGUCGACUCAUAGCAUGUAUGUGUCGACACAUAAACCUGUUUUACACAUAAAAACCUAUUUUUAAUGCAUGAAACAUUUUCUAAACCAUUCCCAAGUUUCCUAAUACUAAGAUGCGCAUUUAGACUCAUAGAAUAUCGCCAAUAUACAUAAAUGCUAAAUUGUCCUAGUUUUGACAUCAUACAAAACAUUUCUAAUAGGAAGGUUCACUCACAUACUCCCCCUUUCUUAUGAUGGCAAAACUUGUGAUAAUGCAUUUGAUGUCUUCAUGAAGGCUCCCCCUGAAUGUGUGCAUCCUAGAUUCAUAGAUUUCAUAUGCUUCUCCCCCUUUGAUAAUAUCAAAAAGAGACAAAACAAGUCAUUAGAAAUAUCACAUAGAUUCAACAUAUCACCUAUAUCAUAUACCAAGAUUACACAUAGGCGUUUGCAAAGAAAGAGUGUGCACUCACAUACACUACAUGCGCGAAGUUACACAAAUUGAAUUACUUAAACAUAAAUAGAAAGGAAAUUUAAACAACAUUAUAAUAAUGUCAUCUGAAAGCCAAUACACAUAACAUAACCAUUGUCUCACUUCAAACAAGUGAUAAAAUUGUUAAUACAUAAGCUUAAAGACAAAAUAAACCAAAAGAAAACACAAAAUGCACGACGAAUCAAAACAUGAAAUGCAUGAUAGAAAUGCUCUAAAAGAGGUUUAACCCAAAGACACAAAAUCUCAUCACUUCAACAUCCUCCACAACCUCUAGGAAUUUGCCUCACACCAUGAUGCCAACCUUGUCUAUCAUUUCCAAAGUGAUGAUCCAAGAAAUCGCACAUCUCUCGGUAGAAUUGUGCAUAUUGGUAGUCAUUCUCAUUUUGAAUAUAAAUCAUGUGAUUUAUCCUGGAAAUUAUAGUAGCAUUAUUAUAAUCCAUCUCAUUGCGCAUAGAGACAAGCUUUUCAGUCACAUAAGAGGAAAAAUCUUCAAAGUUAGUGUCUUAUGUUGUCACGUGCUCAUGAAUGAGACGAAAUCGUUCCACUUGAGCUACCUCAAAAGCAUAUCGCCUCCGACAAUCCUCCUCGUAGCGCUCAUCUAUCUUAACCUGUAUGUUUUGAAGCAUAGUGAUAAUGGAAGAUUGAUUUCCAUAUUCAACACCAUUUAUGCUACCUUGACCAUCCUCGUGAUCAACAUCUUGCAAAAUUGCAUCAUGUUGAUGAACACCAUGAGGAACACCAAUAGGUUAAUCAUCAACAACAUAUGGCUCAGAUACAACAUCAACAAACUUAGCGGAGCCAUCAAAGUUAUAAAUUUUCUUACCAUUCUUGCUAACACAGAAUUAAUACACCUGCGGUCUUCAUCCGAAAAGCAUCCCAUGUUGGUUAAAGUGCGUUGGGAGAACUCUUGAACCAUUAUAGGUGAUCUAUACUGAAGAUUUCAAAUGCCUAUCUUAAAGUAGUUUAAGAUUUUGGCAAUCAUAGAAACAUAACAAAAGGAAGUUCCUUUGUUACAUUAUUUGAUGGCAAACAUCCGAGACACGAAGUAGUUUGCCCAAUUUAUCCGAGUUUUGUUCAGAAGAAUGUAGACAAGGUGGAUUCCAACAUUGUAAAUCCUUGAGUAACCACCAUUUUUUGGGUAUAACACGUGAGAAACACGCCAGAGCAAAAUGGAGGAACCAUUUUCAACUGACUGGUUAUUAUGAUUUCGAUGCAGUCAUCAGACCGUGGAGCCUUAAGCAACUCAUUCAUGUGAAUGCUCCAUUUAAAAUCUUAAUGAAGGUUGAUAUAUUUCAACAAGAAUUAAACAUCAGCACUAACAAUAAUAGUUCCAAACAACGACUUCCAAAGAUCAUCAGUAAAAUCAUAAACCUCAUUACCUGUUAUGAACUUGAAGGUGGAGCCACGUCUAUCAUGGAGCCCGAAGUAAAACACAUGAAUGAUCUUUAUUGUAAUCUUGUGAAAGAUUCAAGAAGUGGUUGAUUUGUUGAUGCUCAACAAGACGAACAACCUCUGGAAUGUCCAAAAAGCCAACAAUAACAGGUUCCAAACAUGUUGCUUCAUAACAAGGCGAUUUUGGUGUUUCUCUUCAAAUUCCUCAACACACGUAGAAGAAACCAACGAAAAGGCAGUUUCUGGAAUGGUAGAGGAUGUGGUAGCUUUACCCUUACCCUUGAUAUCACUCUUGUUUCUUGAAAUCUUUGGUGCCAUGGAGAAUUUUUCAAAAUGAGUUCUCACGGUAAGUGUUUGACAGAAUGUGUGAAAGAGGAAUGAAGUUGUUUGAGGGAUAUAUGAGUACCUACAAACCCAAACCAGAGGUAGAGAUGCUUAAACACACUAAGAUGACAAUGAAACCUAAAAAUGAAUGUAAAUUUGGAGUUUGGAGGGCUUGGGUGUGAUUUGAAAGAUGUGAGGAUGAGGGUUUUAAAAGAGGAAAUAUGAGGAUAAUGAAUGGGUGUGAUGAUAGAACGAAGAGGCUUAAUGAUAUGUUGGAAAAAGGAGUGAUGGAUGAGUUAUGGUGAAAGAAUUUAAUAGGUAAAGUGGAUGAGACAAUGACAAAUGAAAUGUAUCAAGACCCAAGUAGAAAUGAAGAGGUGUGGUGUUGGAUGCUUGUAUGAAGAGAUAAUGAGGAAUGCAUUUUUUCUUUGUAAAACAUGUUAUGAGCCAACCUGUUGGAUGCAUGUGUCGACCUAAAUAGGUCAUGAAGCGACACACUUGACACAUGUGUCUACACAUACUGAAUCAAAUUUUAAAAAUUCUGAAAAUUGAUUUAAUGAGUCGACCUAUACGAAACAUGAGUCGACAUAUGAGGUGCAACAAGUGAAAAUUUUGAAACAUAAGAUUUUGGGUUGACCUUGAAAGAGCAUGAAGAGUUUUUGAAAGACACGUGGAAAUGAUAAUUUUUCAUGGUUUGGUAGUAAUUAACAUGCAAACACACAUAUGUAAGCAUAAAAUAUUAACAAUAUAGAAUACAUGUGAGGAUAUUAAGAUGAGGUCACCAUAAACAAAUAAAUUGAAACGCAUCAUGGUUAUCAAUUGUAAUUUUUAAAAAUGAACACUCAUAACAUGUAUCAUACACAAAUUAUAUCAUAUACCUUUAAAGAAUAAAUAGGUAAAAGAAAGGACUCACUUACAAAGCGAAAAUUGAAACAAUAUUACCUCACUGUAUGAAUGAUAGAGGAUGCACAUGCAUUUCAUGAGGAACUCCCGAACGAAAGUUGGAACUGAUGCAAAACGUGACACAAAAUCUUUUGACAUUAACGCUCUUACCACUUUUCUCUUUGUCAAAGUAUCAUAUAACGUGAUUUGUAAUGAAUCAUAGAAAGUUAUUGAUUUGAUGAUUAUCCUUUUUGGUUGGACUUUCAUUCUUGUCCUUUUCAUGAUAGUUAUCUUACUCCUCCUCAUGUUUCAUCGUCUUAGGUUGAUCAAUCUCUUAUUCGAUGUCCUUGAGUAUGUCUUUUAAAGAUAGACUGGCAUCAUGAAACAAAAUACCUUUUCCAAAAUUUCUCAGAUAGGAAGCAUUAAAAUUAAUCUACACAUCUUUUACCAAUUAAUGAACACUAUUGUCUUCCUUGGUCACAUAAUCCUUCUUCCUUGCCACAAAGUCAAUGAAAUAGGGAGAUGUCACCCGUCAUAUGUCUUGAGCAUCCACAAACUAUAACUCAUAUUCUCUUCAUAGAGGCAAGACAUUUAUCCAGAAGGAUCAACAAAAAAUGCUAGUUAUCCAAUUUUCAUUGGGUCCUUGAGGAUGAGUGAAAUCAAGAUUGCAUUUGGGAAACCAUUGAAAAACACCUUUAGGAACAAAGAGUCUCCUAAACUUGCAUUUUUCAAUAGUGUGACCUUUUUUGCAACAAUAGUGACAAGAUAAGUUGUGAUGAGAUGUACUUUUGCUAUUUGAACAUAUUUACACUUUUUAUAUGAAGGGUUCAAAGACCGCUUAGACUUUGAUGGAUCAAUAGAAAAUGUAACCUUUGGGUGUAAUGCCUUGUCCAAUUUAGCUUUAAGAGUAUUUACCUCUUUUUGUCAAAUGUGACAAGUUUCAUAAUGAACCAUGAAAGUUCUUCAUCCCCAUUCUUAUAUUUUUGAAUAUCUACCAUAGAUUACUUAAGAGCUUCCAUAUUCUUUUCAGUUUCUAAAACUUUAGCUUCUAAAUGUGAAAAGAUUCUUUUGUUUCAAGCUAACUUUUUAAAAGCGUAUACGGCUUCUCUAUGUAGAUUUUCAAAAGCUUUUUGUAAUUGAGAAUAAGACAACUCAUUAAUAGAUUCAAGUUUAGAACGACUCACAUUCUUCUUCUUUUUUGUUGGCCAUGAAUUAAAGCUUGGCUGAUUCGUCACUUGAACUUGAGCUUUCAUUACUUGAAGAAACACAUUGACUCUCCCAAGCAAUAUAGGCUCUUCUAGACUUGAUAUAUUUCUUGUGAUGACCUUUCUCUUUGUCUUUCAUGAUCAAUGGACAAUUUGGCUUAUAAUCACCAACUUUUCCAUAAUAGUAGCAUGAACCUCUAUGUUUACUCUUCUUAUUAUCAUCUUUCUUUGAGGAGUUCAAUAGCCUUCUAAAGUUUAUUAGGUUCUCGUUGGAGUGCUUGACUCCAUUUUUCCUUAUGUACCUAUUGUACCUUUUGACGAACAACCUCAUUUCUCUAUCAUCGAAAUUCUCGCCAUCACUUGUUUCACAAUCACUUUGCUCAUUGGUUAAGGACUUUGAACUUGAAGCCUUUAGAGCAAUAAACUUAUUUCCUACCUCAUUUUUCUUUCCUUUCUCCUUCUUUAUCUUCUUCUCGUGCUUUUUCUAAUGUUUUCCCAAGCAAACGAGUUCUUGCUCAACUUCUUCUAGCUUGCCAAAUAAAGUUGUGAGAUCAAGUGUUCUAAGAUCAUUCACUUCUUUGAUAGCGGUGACCUUAGGUUGUCAUUCCUUAUUAAGACACCUCAAAACUUUAUUAGUAGAAAUAUAAUUGGAAAUAGGCUUAGCUAGAGCAUUCAAAUGAUUUAUAAGACACGUGAACCUCUUUUGCAUGUCGACAAUGGUUUCACCAUGCUUCAUGCAAAAUAGUUUAAACUAUUGAGUUAAGGUAUUGAUCCUAGCUAGUUUUACUUCAUGAGUUCCCUCAUGGCUAACUUAUAAUGCAUCGCACAUAGCUUUGGCGGCUUCACAACGGGAAACAUGAUAAUAUUCAUUAACACCAAGUGCGGAUAUGAUAAUAUUUUGUGCCUUCCAAUCAUGUGACCAUAAUUUCCUAUCAUUAUCACUCCAUUGUGCUUAUGGUUUUGGUACAACAACAUCUUCACCAUUGGUCAUUGUAAUUUGAUUAUGACAAUUAGUGAUGACGUCCCAUACACCCUUAUCAACUGAGUUGAUAUGGAUGCACAUAUAAUCUUUCCAAUAGCCAUAGUUUUCACUCGUAAAUAUGGGCGCUCUAUUGUACGCCCCUUUAGGUUCACUAGCCAUUUUCUAAUAAGUGAAUAUUGAAGCACAUAAUUAACCGAAGCUCUUGAUACCACUUGUUAUACGAAGGCGACUUAUCUAGAAGGGGGGGUGAAUGGAUCCCAAGUUAAACAACUUUACAAAGUUGUUUUGAAAAAUUUAACGGCUAGCGGAAGUGACCCGAAUCGAAUCGUCUAAACCGAACCGCUAUCGAAAAUCACGAAUAUGCAUAUAUAGAAUCAAUUUAUGAUAAUGAGAACAAUUGAUCAAAAUAAUUUUAACGAUAAUCACUUGAAUACUACAAUAAAAGUAAAGUCUAUUUCCAAUGAAAAAAUACACAAAAACGCAAUUGAGACAAAUUAUCGAACAUCUUGUGUGCAACCAAUUUCGUUUAGAAUUCUGUAUGAUUUUGUUGAUUUUCAAAUCCAACCACAAUCUAAUAGAUUGUGAUCAACUCAACAAAAUCUUUUUCAAAAGGUUAUCAAAAAUUUUAACCAAACGUAUUGAUUGCAUAAUCGGCGAAUUCAACAAUUAACAAAUGAAAGUAAAAGAGAUAGAUAGAUAGAGAGAGAGAGAGAGAGAGGAUUACACAAGGAUUUGUUUAGGAAGUUAUUAAAUCGACCUCGCUAUCGGUAUGUCUUCCCUCAAUUCGAACUCGAAUUGAGAUAAUGAAAAUUAACCUUUGCAAUUGUAGUUUACAAGAAAAGAAAUAGCAAUUCAACCAUCUAAACCCUAUGUUUGAUGUUGAUCCUAUCUUAUUUUCUUCCCUUGAUCAAAGCUCGAUCAAGUAACCGAAGAAUACCAAUUUGAUCUACCAUCUCAUGCUUCUCCUUUGCAAGAAACCUCGUUCUUCACAACUUUCACUCGAUCGAAUCAAAACUUCAAAUUAUUGUCACCCAAGAUUUACCAACAUGAUCCAUCGUCUCACGUUACUCCUUUGUAAGAAACUUUGUUCUUCAAAGCUUUCACUCGAUCCAAUUUAACUUGCAUAAUUUUUUCCAAAACCUUCAAGUAACCAAUUAUUCUUGAAGGAAAACCCUGACUUGAUUUUCUUAUUUGAAACCCCCAAAGAUUCUUAACCCAGUUUACAAUUCAACAACCUAAAUCGGAUGUUAUCAACACUGAUUCUAGAUGACACCCAAACAAAGAAUGAUUAUGUUUAAUUUAUUUGUGUGUAUGCAUAGUACAUAGGUUGAAGAUGAAGAGAACUCUUUGUAUAUUCCUGAAGAGAACUCUUUGUAUAUUCCUAUAUAUAUAUAUGUGUGUGUGUGUGUGUGUUGGGGGGGGGGGGGACAAGUUAGAGGCAAAAAGGAAUGCAAAAGGUUUAGAAAGAAUGCAAAGUUUUCAAGAUUAUUAAUGCAUGUGUCGACUUCUGUAGGUCAUGUGUUGACACAUUCAAUGUAUGUGUCGACUCAUAGAAGAAAAUUUUCUUUUAUGUGUCGACUUAAAACCCAUCCACAAUCGACACAUCAAACAGAAGCUACAUGCUUUAAAAUUGAACUAUAUGUGUCGACUCAUAUAAGAAUUUUUCUUCUGUGUCAACCUAAAAUGCUUUAUGUGUCGACUCAUGCAUGACAAAAGCUAGAAUCUUUGAAAAUGAUCUACAUUUGUCGACUCAUAGCAUGUAUGUGUCGACACAUAAAUCUGUUUUACACAUAAAAACUUGUUUUUAAUGCGCAAAACCUUUUCUAAACCACUCAUAAGUUUUCUAAUACUAAGAUGCGCAUUUAGACUCAGAGAAUAUCGUCCAAUAUACAUAAAUGCUAAAUUGUCCUAGUUUUUACAUCAUACAAAAUAUUUCUAAUAGGAAGGUGCACUCAUAGUCUUGACCCUCUUUUUUUCCCACUUAACAUUGAACUUGAACCUAUUUUUCUUUCCAGAAUCCACUACCUUACCCUUGACUCUGCGAUGGUUGUGACCUCCCUUCGCAAACAAACAUUCACCCGAACUUCCCUCACCUUCCUCUACAUUUUGACGAUGUUGUGAGUGUUGCAAAACGGUAGAUGAAAUAGAAUCCAUUGUGAUUGAUUCCUUUCCGUAUGUGAGAGUGGUCACCAAGUGAUCAUAAGAUCUUGGUAAAUAGUACAACAAAAUAACGACUUUAUCCUCAUCAUCACCCUUCACACCAAGUUGUGUCAAAUCAGCAAGGAUGUUGUUGAAAGCAUUGACUUGAGCCUGCAAAUCGCCUCUUUUCUGCAUCUUCAGACUAUAGAUACGAUGCUUCACGAACAAUUUGUUCAUGAACGUCUUGGACAUGUAGUGAUUUUCUAAUUAUCUCAAACAUCCUUCGGAGUUGUGAGAUCAAGGAUAUGAUUCAUUACUUCAUCAAAAAUGCAAAGUCUUAUCAAACCUACAGACUUCUCCUUCAUCUCGUUUCAAUCAAUGGUUGCGAUAUCCGUCGGUUUCUCAUCAUGAAAUACCUUUUGUAAACCUUGUUGAGCCAACAAAUCCCUAACCCACCUUUGUCAUAAACAAAAAUUCCCUUUUUCGUCGAACCGAGUCACUUCGAACUUCGCACAUAUAAGAUUAAACUCAUUUGAUACCAAUUGUUAGGGAGACUAGGGAGCGUUGGAAGUUUCAAUUGGCUAAAUUUUCAUGAUCCAAGAGACAUUAACGCCACAUGUCCACCAAAAACCUUAAAGCAAUAAGAGUAUGAGUCAUCCCUCUUAUAAAUACAAUAUUUCCUCCAUUCUCAGUCGGUGUGGGACUUCAACACUUUCACACUUAAAAACCAACAAAAUCUCUCACAAGUGUGAGUCACCCACAUCACUAGCCUUGAUCAACACUAGGAUCCACUUCCGCUCUCACUGAAUUAACUAGACUCUUAUACCACUAGGAUCCUUUAAAUUGAAUAUAAUCUAAGAGUUAAAUUAAUAUUUUUCUUAAUUAACCAUUCGACUAAAUCGAAUUUUAAUCGAAUUUAAUAUUAUGAUUUAGAGUAAACUAAAAAAAUUAUUUUUGAAAUAACUUGAUCUCAAUAUAUAUAUACAUAUAUAUAUAUAUAUAUAUAUAUAUAUAAUAUAUAUAUAUAAUAUAUAUAUAUAUAUAUAUAUAUAUAUAUAUAUAUAUUUUUACUUCAAUUUUUUUUUUAAUUUACUCUAAAUUUUAACUCUAUUUUUAUUAAUCUAACAAUUUUAAUAAAUCAUUUAACUAAUUUUUGCCUGCUUACUAACUAAAAUAAAUAUAUGUAAGAAUUUUGUCCUUACUAACUAAAAAAUAGAAAUUUACAAUGUUUAGUUUUUCAAUUUAACUAAUUUAUAGUCGAAUAUUCAAUCUCUCAUUUAUAUUAUUAUUAAUUUUUUAAUUACAUAACUGCCGACUUCCAUAACUGAUUUAGUGAAGAAAUUUAUCAGCCAUAACUUUAUUUUAAUUUUUGUGUGAUAGAAAUUGAACUGAUUCCCAACAAUUAUUACUACGACUCAUUCAAAUUUCAAAGUAAGAAAAAGACGAAAUUGAAUUGAAUGGCCUGGGUGGCAAAAAGAAAGGGAAAAAAAAAGAAGCAAAACCAUACUACCCAUUAUCCAAAAACUAUUUUAAUGGCCUAAAUUUUUAUAAAAAAUAAUUAAAAGAUUUUAACUUCCGAAUUAAUUAGAGAUCAAAUUUAAAAAUACUUUACAUAAAGAUAUCUCACAUUGUAAGGUUUUAUAAUUUAAGUAAUUUCAAUUCAUAUACUUUAAUAUAAAUAUGGGAGUAUAUAGGAUUGUGCGUGGUUUUUUAAACUGAAUCAAAUAUAUGAUACAAUUUUGUUCUUAAAGUUAGUUUAUUUUUCAAAAGUGGUUUUUAUUUGGCUCAGUUCUGUUCAAAUUGAUUCAAUAUUAAUAAUUGUUUUUUUUUGUUUAAAUCAGUUUGAAAAUCGGAUAUUCUUAGAACAAAUUUGAAAUCUAAUUUUUAUUUCAGAAAUUGUUUUAAUUGAAAUCGGAUGAUUGUGAUGUAUUGACAGUGUAAAAAAUUUACACCGACAGUGCAUAACAAUUAAUCUCAAAUAUAUAUAUAUAUAUAUAUAUAUAUAUAUAUAUAUAUAUAUAUAAUAUAUAUAUAUAUAUAUAUUAUAUAUAUAUAUAUAUAUAUAUAUAUAUAUAUAUAUAUGUAUAAUUAUUGAUUCUUUUGUAUGUGGAUAUUUGUAAUAUACAAGAAGCACCAACCAUUUUCUGUUUCCUUCAAUCAGCUUUCAUAACAACUUUCUAUUAUUGUUUCUUCUUCUUCUUGAAUGAAUCUUGAUUUCAUUACUUCAUAUGAACAUUAAUGCAUCUUGUCUUACCACUACAUUGCUUCAUAUGGACAUUGACAUGGUAUCAGAGCUUCACUAGCUCUGGUAGCCAUUGUUCUUCCUUUCCCUUCUCCAAUCGACUGCAUUUCUGUUCCUUUUUGCAAAUUCUUACUAUCUCUUCAUCUCUGUUUUCAUGGCUAACCAGAGCUUCACCGAUUUUUUCACAAAUUCCUCGAAUCCGUAUUACCUGCAUCUGAAUGAAAAUCCUUCAAUCAUCCUCGUUUCACCUCUUCUUGAUGACAAAAAUUACCAUACUUGGGCGAGAUCGAUGCACAUUGCGUUAAUCUCCAAGAACAAGGACAAGUUCGUUGACGGUACACUCACAAAACCUCCCGUUUCUGAUCCCUUAUACGCCCCAUGGAUUCGGUGUAACACAAUGGUUCUGGCGUGGAUUCAUCGUUCUAUUUCUGAAUCUAUUGCUAAGUCUGUGUUGUGGAUCGAAAGCGCAGAUGGCGUAUGAAAGAAUUUGCAGCUCCGUUUUUCGUAAGGUGAUAUUUUCUGCAUUUCAGAUAUUCAAGAAGAUUUAUACAAAUUCCGUCAAGGUUCUCUUGAUGUUUCGAACUAUUUCACCCAAUUGAAGGUAAUGUGGGAUGAACUCGAGAAUUAUUUUCCCGUACCAGCUUGUUCUUGCGCCAUACCGUGCUCUUGUGGUGCCAUUAGUUCAAUUCGCAAAUACAAAGAGCAAGACUAUGUUAUCAGGUUUCUUAAAGGAUUGAAUGAAAAGUUUACACAUUCCAAAUCUCAAAUAAUGAUGAUGCAGUCCCUUCCCACCAUUAACAAAGCCUUUUCAUUGGUGAUUCAAUAAGAAAGAGAGAUAAACUAUGCAGGGUCAUCCAUGGUAAUUCCUACUGCUUCAGCCAACGAAGAAGUAACUGCAUUUCAGCUUCGCGGCUCUUAUUCAGGACAUGCUAAUGGCAAGAAUGGUCAGACUUUCAGAGGCAAGCCACAAGGUGGAGCUCGAGGACACAACCAUGUUUGCACUCAUUGUGGGAGAACUAAUCACACAGUUGAGACUUGUUUCCUCAAGCAUGGUUAUCCACCUGGCUUCAAAGGUAAAGGUAAAACCCAAUCUUCCAAUACUUCAAAUCAGACUGUUAUUGCAUCUGUUCAUGCAGGGUUAGAUGAAUCUCAACCAAGUUUUGGUUUUACACAAGAUCAAUACAACAACAUUUUGGUCUUAAUUCAACAGUCCGAGCUUACACCUCAAGCCAAUUCCAUAUCCUCAUCACCCUUUGGCCUAAAUUCUCAUGCUUACAAUAAUCAUGGUAAGAACCCUAAUCUAUGGAUAUUUGAUACUGGUGCAACAUGCCAUAUUGCAUAUGACUUAGCCUCAUUUGAAUCAUAUAAAGACAUAAUUCCAGUACAUGUUAGUUUACCAGAUAGUUCUCAAAUUGUUGCUUCUAUGUCUGGUAGCAUAGUUUUAUCUCCCACCCUCCCUCUUCAUAAUGUCCUAUGCAUUCCCACUUUCCAUGUUAACUUACUCUCUAUUGCUAAACUUGUCAAUAGCAAUGACUGCCAUGUUAACUUCAUUGCUAAUUCUUGUACCAUUCUGCAGAACCAUUCCAAGGUAGUGAUUGGUACAACUAACCUACAAAGAGGAUUAUAUGUGCUUGAUGCUACUCCUCAAUCACAAGCCCUUCAUUCCAAUUCUGCUUCCUCUUGUAAUCUUUGGCAUAUAAGAUUAGGCCACAUCUCUAAUGAUGGUUUGAAAUACAUUUCCAAAGCUUUCCCUUUUAUUCCUUAUGUACACAAUAAUAUUCCUUGUGAUUCUUGUCAUUUUGGAAAACAAAAGAAACUUUCAUUUCAUAACAGUAUUACUGUUUCUUCUCUUCCUUUUGAAAUACUACAUGCUGACUUAUGGGGGCCAUUUGUCACCACUUCUACAUUGGGCCAUAGAUAUUUUUUUACUUUGGUUGAUGAUUAUACUAGGUAUAAAUGGAUUAUAUUCCUCAAAACCAAAGAUCAAACAAAGAAUAGUUUAAUACAGUUUGUAGCAUACAUUGAGACUCAAUUCAAAACCUCUUUGAAAUGCCUUAGAUCUAACAAUGGAAGUGAGUUUGUUGCCCUUAGUAAUUUCCUCCUAUCUAAAGGUAUCAUUCACCAAAAGUCCUGCGUUGAAACACCCCAACAGAAUGGGGUAGUAGAGAGGAAACAUCAACACAUAUUGAAUGUAGCUAGAACCCUUUUAUUUCACUCUUCAAUUCCAUUAAACAUGUGGAACUUCUGCAUACAUGCCAUACACCUCAUAAAUCGACUCCCUACUCCCCUACUGAAACUCAAAAGUCCUUAUGAAUUGCUACAUAAACAUCCUCCUAUUCUCAUCCACUUAAAAACCUUUGGAUGUUUGAGCUAUGCUACCUUAUUACAAGCCCACAAAACUAAGUUUGCACCUAGAGCUAGAAGAGUUGUUUUUCUUGGUUUCAAGGAAGGGACUAAGGGAUAUAUUCUCUAUGAUUUACAACAUCAUAAUAUCUUUGUGUCUAGGAAUGUAGUUUUUUUAUGAAACUUACUUUCCCUUUAAAACUCCUAACACAUCUGCACCUGAACCUGAAAACCCCACUCUCAUGUCUUAUCCCACCUAUGAUGAUCCACCUAUUCAACCUAUUCCCUCUUCCAUAACUCAUGACAGGAUUUCACCUCAAUCUCAUAUUCAGCCUGAUGUUGGUACACCUCAUCAGUUGGUCAUUAAUGACCAUUCCCACCUCAGUCUAACUUUACAACCUGUCAUGAAUGACUCUACACAAAUGUCCCACUCUAGUCCUUUGUUGGAUGCACAUAGGUCUGCUACUCAAACUAUUCCUAUCAGAACCUCUUUAACACCUUUACCAUUACCUAAUGGGCAAUCCCAUGUUUGCCCUGCUGUACCCACCACUACACAACAGCCUGCUACAACUGUUUCCCCUGAUGUACCCACCACUACACAACAGCCUGCUACAACUGAACAAUCACAUGUCCCUUUACCUGAACCAGAGCCAGCAAAUAAUGCAUAAAUUUUACAUAAUCGAAAUUCUACUAGAGUAUCUCAUCCUCCAAUUUAUCUUGCAGUUUACCAUUGCUAUAACACCAUACAUCAUUCUCCUAUCUCUCUUAACACCAAACUAAAGCCUUCCACUGUUGCAUAUCCCUUAUCCUCUGUGUUGACCUAUGAUCAUUGUUCUCCUUCUUAUAAACACUAUUGCCUUUUUAUAUCCUCUCAUGUUGAACCAAAGACAUUUAACCAAGCCAAUAAACAUGACUAUUGGAAGAAGGCAAUGAAUGUACAGUUGAUUGCUCUUGAGGAAAAUCAUACUUGGCAGAUUGUUGAUCUACCUCUUGGAAAAACACCCAUAGGUUGCAUAUUGGUUUAUAAAAUCAAGCAUAAGGCAGAUGGCUCCAUUGAAAGAUUUAAAGUCAGGCUAGUGGCAAAGGGAUAUACACAAAUGGAAGGUAUUGACUACUUUGAGACAUUCUCUCCUGUAGCCAAAAUUACUACAGUCAUAGUCCUUUUAUCAUUAGCUGUUGUUAAAGGUUGGCACUUAGAACAGCUAGAUGUGAACAAUGCUUUCCUUCAUGGUGAUUUACAUGAAGAGGUAUAUAUGACUCUCCCUCCUGGCUUAUCUGGUUAUGGUGAAUCUAAGGUGUGCAAACUGCAGAAAUCUUUAUAUGGCCUCAAACAGGCCAACAGGCAAUGGUAGUCAAAACUAUUCACCUUCCUUCUCUCACUUGGAUACACACAAUCCCAGGCUGACCAUUAACUUUAUGUUAAGAAGGUCAAACAUGAAUUCACUACACUACUUGUUUAUGUAAAUGAUGUGGUAUUGACAGGUAAUUCUUUGUCUGAGAUUCAACAGGUCAAACAUCUCUUGAAUCAAAAGUUUCUAAUCAAAGAACUUGGGCAGCUACGUUUCUUCUUAGGAUUUGAGAUUGCUAGAUCUUCUACUGGCAUUUUUCUUAAUCAAAGAAAAUAUGCUCUUGAACUCUUGGAGGAUGUUGGUCUCUUGGUAGCAAAACCAUUUGCAGUUCCCUUCAAUCCAACCCUGAAACUGUCAGCUGAUGAAGGCAAUGUUUUAGAGGAUCCUUCUCAAAAUAGAAGGUUAAUUGGCAGGUUGAUUUAUCUCACCAACUCACGCCCUGACAUUGCAUUUGCAGUACAGCAUAUGAGUCAAUAUGUAUCCAAACCACGUGCUCCUCAUUAUCAGAAUGCCAUUUAAAUUCUCAGGUACCUCAAAUAUGUCCUAACUAAAGGCAUUUUCUUUUCCUCCAACAACAAAUUACAGCUUUUUGGCUUUGCUAAUUCUGACUGGGCUAGAUGCCCUGAUACCAGGAAAUCAGUCAUUGGGUAUUGUGUAAUGUUAGGCUCCUCUUUACUAUGCUGGAUAUCGUGCAUUAGCUUCUAUCACUUGUGAAUUACAAUGGUUACAUUUUCUGUUUCGAGAUUUCCUAGUUCAAUUUGAGCAGCCUGUAUAUGUGUUUUGUGACAGCAAGUCUGCAAUUUACUUAGUGCAUAAUCCUACGUUUCAUGAACGUAGCAAACACAUUGAAUUGGACUGUCACUUGAUAUGGGAAAAGAUCAAUUCAAAACUUAUUCAUCUUCUUCCUAUCUCUACACAUAACCAGUUGACAAACAUUUUUACUAAACCCCUUCAUUCACCAUCCUUGAAGAAUAGUUUGGACAAGUUGGGAGUUUGUACCAUUCACUGCCCAACUUGAGGGGGAUGUUAGCAUAUAUAUAUAUAUAGCCUAUCAUAUGUACUAAUAAUUAUUGAUUCUUUUGUAUAUGGAUAUUUGUAAUAUACAAGAAGCACCAACCAUUUUCUGCUUCCUUCAAUCAGCUUUCAUAACAACUUUCUAUUAUUGUUUCUUCUUCUUCUUGAAUGAAUCUUGAUUUCAUUACUUCAUAUGAACAUUACUACAUCUUGUCUUACCAGUGCAUUGCUUCAUAUGGACAUUGACACUUUAUCUGAUUUUUGUUACCCAGUUUUUUUUAGCCUUUUUGUUUUGACUAGAAAUUCCUUCACAAAAUAAUUGCAUGUACCUCUCAUAAAGACCAUGCAAAUAGAAGAACAACAACAAAUAAAAUAUAGAUUACUAAAAUGAAUAAAGUCGAUUUGAAAUAUUUUUAACUCAAUUUAAUUCGAUAAAAGUUACUUUAGCUUAAAAUUUGAUUCAAAUUGACAUGGAUUUUUUUAAAGCUUAAAUCCAAUUCAUAUCCAUCACCAAUUCAAUUUAACUCAUUAAGUUCAAUUCAUUAUAUUUGAUUUGUUUUUUUAUGGAUUUAAAAAUUAUCUUUUUAAAUCUAAUAUUUUUUAAUAUAUUUAACAUUUUAAAUUAAUAUUUUAAAACAAAUUAUAAAAUAAAUUAAAUUAAAAUAUAAGAUUAAAAUUUAACUUCUUCUAAAAAAAUCUAUAGCUUCAAAAACUACACGACUUUUAAAAAAAAUCAUUUGAAGGUUUAAUUCAAAAAUUAUUCAAUUAAAAUUUAACUUUAUCUUAAAAUUUCAUAUUUAUAUCUAAAUCUUUAGGAACUUUAUAAAUAUAAUAAUAAUAAUAAUAAAAAAUUUAAUUAUCACCAUUAGUGUCUUAAAACUUCAUUAUACAUGUCUCUAAAUGGCAUUUUCUUUUCAAAUCAAUUGUAUUAAUGUCAAUUACCAAAUAUAAUAAUUAUAUGGUUUUUAAAUAAUUUUUUUAUUUCUUCCGUAAUUGAUCCGUUUUGUUGGUGUAAUGUUUUUUCUUCCAAAAUCCGUCUUUUUACCUCAUUCUCUGUUUUAAAUUUACCAGCCGUUCUUGAGGGAUUGAAAUUGCAAGUUAUAAGAAUUUCUCUUUUACUAAGAUAAUUUCGGCAUAUAAAUCAUUAUGAUAUCCUCUCAUUGUUGCAGUAUCUUUCAGUGUGUCUAACCACCAAACUAAAAAUAUCAUCAUAAUCAAUCCCCUUUUAUUGUGAAUAUCCCUUUACAACUAGGCGAGCCUCUUAUUUUUUUGUUAGUGCUGACUUUUUCUUGUACACCCACUUGCAACCAAUAACUCUAUUUUUAUGUGGCAGCUAAAAAUAUUCCAUGUCUCCCUUUUAAAGGACUUCCUCUCCUCUACCAUAGCACCCAUCCACUUAUCUUUCUCCUGACUAGUCAUAGCCUUUUGAAAAGUAGAAGGGUCUCCUAAACUGAUAAGAAGAGCAUAUGAUGUUAAGUCUUCAAACUCAUAUCUCACUGGAGGUGUAAUACGAUGAGACUCCUUAUCACACAGAAAUGUAUAAUCUUUUACUCCAUAUGAAUCUUGCAUUCCACCUGAUUUGAACCUGGUUCAUCCUGUGGGCUACAAUCUACCUUGGACUCACUAGUGGCUCCUUAAUGUCGACUUGAAUCUUGUCUUGACUGGAAUUUUCAUCUCAGUAUCUCGCAAAACUGUCACAUCUGUCUAUUUCAACAUCGAAUGUGUUAACCAAUGUUUUUGGUAAACAAUCACUUAGUUUUAAAUAAUUACUUGCAUGAUCAAACUAGAAAAUCCUAAGACAUUUUGAGCAUAAUUUCUGAAGAAAAAAGUUUCCAAGUGUCGUUGUGAGUUUAAAGUUAAGUGUUUUAUGAAGUAACAAGAAAAAAGUUCGAAAGUGAAAAGAAAUUAAAGGUUUCGGCUAUGUCGAAAUCCACUAUGGAAAAAAUUGAGAAAAGUAAUAAAGGACAAAAACAAAGUAAAUAAAAAAGUAAGAGUUAUUUCGAUUAAAUAAAUGAAAGUCGGUGUACAUAAUCAUAUAUAUUCCUCACAAACUCGUUUCUCGCUCUGACUUGGGUACUUUGAGUUCUAUAGAGAUUUUGUAAUGAUAUUGCUACCCGAUUUCUAAUGCUAGAACCCACUAUAUAUAAUAUAUAUAUAAUAUAUAUAUAUAUAUAUAUAUAUAUAUAUAAUAUAUAGAAAUAACCGCCUUUAAGAAGAGAUAUAUCUUCGGCGUUUGACAUAUAACUUGUGUAGCUUCCAAUCUUCUAACUUAUUCUCACAUGUCUUCGAUGUUUGGAUAAGAUCAAAAUUAGUUAUUCAAUCUUAUCCUUUUACUUAUCUCACUUGUCAUGGUCGAUGUUCAGCUUUUCGAGUUAUGAGGAGAAAUAUUCUUAUAAUUCUAGAAAACUGUUAAGCCUAAAAUCCAUGAUUAUAAUGUUGAACUGAAUAUUAAUGAUUGAACACUACUUCUGUCUCACGUAUAACCAUAUGUCCUCAUAUUUAAUUAGAUAUUGUUUCAGCAUCAUAGUUUCUUUGUCGAACUCACAUAUUGAGAAUUCUAUGCUAACAAAUUAUCCCUUAAUAAAGAUCAAUGGUCUAUUUAAAUAAAAUUUAGUGCAUUCUUUUGAUUAGCAUUUUAAUAAUUAAUUUAAUAAAUUGAUUAUAUUUAAAGAAAAUCAUUCAUACCCCUAAAACAUUAUUAUAAAAAUUAUUACUUAUGGAUUCAAUUAAUAUAUAUGAAAAAUCUAUUAUUCUUGAUACUAAGACAACUUGCUUCCAAGAUAAUAUAUUGUCCAUGUCAAUUAGGUAAUUCAAUAAAGGAUAAAUAUUGUUAAAUUCUUGAAAUUACCGUCUAUAAUUAAAUAUGAUGUAUCUGAUUUAAAAUUAUUUAUUAAUAAUUUCAUGCUCUGUUUUAAUUGGGGUCUUAAAAUAUGCAAAUUAAAGUUAUAUUAUUAAAAUAAAAUGAAUUUGAAAGAUUGUAAAAAUAAAUCUAUUAAUUAAAUUAUUUAUUAAAUUAUAUGAAAAUAAUGGGUGAUUAUUCAUCCUCAUAUUGUUAUAGAGAUAUACACCAAUAUUUUUCCAGAUGUUUUUUCUUAAUCAUCACAAAGUUAUUUAAAUAUAUUUAUAUUUCGAGUAUUUAUUUUUACCAAAAUAUUUUAUGUCUUAAUUAUUAUUCAUCAUAUUUACUCAUCUAUAUUAUUAAUAUUCUUUAUAUAUCCAUAUAUUACAUUCCUCCUUAAUAUUUCUAUUUUACAAGGUGAUACUUAUUCCUUAAACAUAAUUCUCUGUAUAUCAUAAGAAAACAUUAGUACCUUUUAAAUUAAAUAAUAUUAAUAUAAAUCAUUUUUUAAAUCUUAUAUAGCUAUAUAUAUAUAUAUAUAUAUAUAUAUAUAUAUAUUAUAUAUAUAUAUAUAUAUAUAUAUAUAUAUAUUAUAUAUAAUAUAUAAUAUAUAAUAUAAUAUAUAUAUAUAAUAUAUAUAAAAUAAUAUAUAUAUUAUAUAUAUAUAUAUAUAAAAAGAGAGGGAGGGGGAAACAAGUUAAAACCCUACUAAAUAAGAUAUCUACAACAAGGAUCCUUUCAAAAUUUAAAAAUCUAUUGUAAUGUUAGAUGUAGAUGAUCAAUUAAAGAAAUUUUCUGAUGAGUGAAUCUGAUAUAAGCAAGUUGUCCGCACAAGCGUUCUUUAUCUGAAGAUGUGAGAGGCAAUGAAUGCUUGGAAAAAGUGAGAUUUGUCAAUCAGCCAUUUGGUCUUUAAAUUAGAAGGACAAAGGAGAUUCAAAAUUAGCUGACGCUACAGCAAAACUAUAGAUUUGAGCAAAAAAUGAGUCCAAUUGUUCUUUGCAGAAGGUCCAUUGCCAUCUCGCACCAAUAAACUCAGCAUCAAUGGCAUUACCGGCUACAAUGAAAUUCGAGAAACUGCCAACAUAUUAACCUUUUGAAUUUCUAAUAAUUCCCUCGCACGCUCAAAGUUGGAGUACCCACUGCAUACCAUCUGAAUUCCAUUUAAUCCAACCUAAGGCGGAGGCUGCACAAAAAUCUCUGAUCAAGAGGGACACAAGGGACUAGGUGCAGAUAGGCUUUAAAAUGACGAAUUCACAACUAUCGGAGUGUGGCAAUAAGAGGAAAAGUUGUGAGAGAUAUGUUACAGAGAAUAAGUCCCUACAUGAUGACCAAUUUAUAUGGAUGUCUUGAAUUUGAUUUGAUUCGAGCAAACCAUAUUUUAUUGAUAAUUUGGAUAAUAGCUGUGUAAUGGCAUUAUUGUAGGCCUUGGACCAGUCCUAGUUCAUGAUGUACCACCAAUUCUGAAGAUAUUUAAUUGCUGGAAACCUGAAACAAUAGAAGAGAACCAAUUCCAAAUGCGCUUAGGCAAAGAUUCAUUUAAAAUAAUGUGAAUGUGUAGAUUCAUUUUAACUAUAACACAAGACUACAUACAGAGGGGAGGAAACAAGCUUGAGAAAAAAUAUCCUCGUCAAUAGCAAGCUUGUUAUGGAUACAACGCAAAAAUAAGAGAUUUGAAGGAGGUAAGUUAGUUUUAAACCUGCCUAUGCAGAGAUACCUUAGGUUCAUGCUUUGAAACAACACUUGUAAACAACUUGAGCGACAAGCAACCAGAGAUCUCAUGAGACCAGACUCUCACUACUACGAAAAAUACAUAUAAUUAUGGUUGACAAAGAUAUAAUCACGGAGACCAGCCGUUUUAGAAGUGGCGAGUGUUGUAUAUGUGUUAUUUACAAUCACGGCCUAGUGCCGUUGUAGAAAACUGGAAUGGCACGCUACUAAUCACCACAGUUGUGAUACGCAAAUGUUGUGAAAAGUUUAAGGGUCUUUGAUCGAUUCCAUAAACUCCCUUUUUAGGCAUUUAAGUUAUUUUGAUAGUGUUCAACAAUAUACCACAUGUUGGAUUUAUCACAUGUGGCGGAAAUUACUUGCUUUUUUAUAUAUAUUUUAUGCUUUUAUACAUUUUCCAUUUUUAACUUGUAUUUUUGUGAAUUAUAUAGACCAGAGAACAACAACAGCAUUUGUGAAUCAUAUUAUACCAAAAAUUGUAUUACAAUCAAAUCCAAAAAUUGUAAUAAUCAAAACUAAAAUGGCACAAAACAACCUAUAAUUUACACAUCAUUACAUCAAAUAAUUGUAUGUGGUGUUUUAGUUUUGUCUCUUAGUGUCUUGUUUCUUAGUGUCUUGACUUUAAAAACUAUAAUUUCAAAUAAUCAUAAUUGUUAGUAAAUAUAGAAUUAUAACUUAUAAUAAAAUAUAUAAAGAAUAAUAUACUUACUUUUUAAUUUUCUAUAGUCUUCUUUAUGAUCGUUACAAAUAACACGCACAUCAUCUCUAUCAACUUCAUCAUAUGAGGUAGGCACUUGUGUUGUGUAAGAAAGAAUGCAAGGGAUAUCAAAAAUUUCAUCACUACGAGUAAUGUAUUUCUUGGAGACGAUUGGCCAUUCUCCCGAUAUGUUGAAAGGUCAAUCACAUAGAAAAAUUGUUUUGCUUGAGAAGUCAUGAUGAAUGCUUUGAUCAUAUAAGAUUCCUUGCCAAAGUCAUGCGGGUGAAUAUAGGGCAUCAAUUAUACACCAUUAUUAUUUAGAAUCCACUUGUAUUUAAAUAAUAGGCUCUUGAAAAUAACAUAAUCAAUCUCAGAUAUCCUCAAUGACACAUAAAAUGCUCUAGAUGUCAAUAUAUGAUUCUUAUCUUUUGAACUAGAGAAUACAUAGAUUUGAUCUCAACUAUAACCCACUAUUUGCAUUGUACUACGACCGUUUUGAUUUUGUGUAAAAGGAAAAUGACAAUGUCCAAUGUAGUCUAUUUUAUCACAUUAAUUUUGGCAUGUACAACAUCAUUUAAUUUGUCUCGGAUACACUACAUCCUUAGAUAUUUAUUCAAUAAACCAAUUUAAUGAAUUUCUUGUUAUGCUCUAUUAACAAUAACUGUCACUCAUUAAGGGAUUUUUUCUUCGCAAGUGUUUGUGAGUAGUAUAGGUUUGAACUUCAUCAAGAUAUUCAAUAUAUAGAAAUGUGCUUGAAUACUAUAUCCCAAGCCAUUGACUUAACAUUUAAAAUCUGGGUAUCUACUUCAUAGCUGUCAGCAUGAGAGACUUGAACGUCUAUAGACCCGACUUAUGACAAACAGUUUGUACAAAACUCAACAACUCUUUGUGAUGAAAUUUUCAACAAUCGAGAGCUUCCGGUCAAUGAGUGAUUCUUCGUAUAUCCUUUAAAGAUCUUAUAUCGCUGCUAUUAGAUACAUCCACCUUACAUAAAGGACACAUAAACUAUUUCCUGACUAGAUGAACAAGUAAGUGAACCAUAAUGUCAAAAAUGAUGGAGGAAAAUCAUCUCUAAUUGGCACAAGAUUAACGUCAUCAUAUUCUAUUAUCUAUUUUUUUAAAUCAAGAACUUUAUUACAUAUAGCAUUUAAGAUAAGCAUAAUCUGGUUAUAGUUACUCUCACAUUUUUGGGUAGGAUGCCAUGGAUACCACUGGAUAAGUUGUUUGCAUCAAGACAUGACAUUAUUGAGAUUUUAAACCAUUAAUUAGAUAUUUCAUUGAUACAGUUUCUUGAUGUUUGAUGAGUAACCUGGGUAAAUUUGAUAUCAUGAAAAACUUCGUAAAAAAUUAUUUUUCCUUUUUAGAUAGAGUGUGAAUGUCGGAAGCAGAUAAGUUCUUUUUCUGAUUCUAUUGAAGCCAAUUGUUUUCGUAUACCCAUAGCCUCACACCGAGACGUAAAUUCUUNAUAUAUAUAUAUAUAUAUAUAUAUAUAUAUAUAUAGAAAUAACCGCCUUUAAGAAGAGAUAUAUCUUCGGCGUUUGACAUAUAACCCUUUGUGUAGCUUCCAAUCUUCUAACUUAUUCUCACAUGUCUUCGAUGUUUGGAUAAGAUCAAAAGUAGUUAUUCAAUCUUAUCCUUUUAUCUUAUCUCACUUGUCAUGGUCGAUGGUUCAGCUUUUCGAGUUAUGAGGAGAAAUAUUCUUAUAAUUCUAGAAAACUGUUAAGCCUAAAAUCCAUGAUUAUAAUGUUGAACUCGAUAUUAAUGAUUGAACACUACUCUUGUCUCACGUAUAACCAUAUGUCCUCAUAUUUAAUUAAGUAUUGUUUCAGCAUCAUAGUUUCUUUGUCGAACUCAACAUAUUGAGAAUUCUAUGCUAACAAAUUAUCCCUUAAUAAAGAUCAAUGGUCUAAUUUAAAUAAAAUUUAGUGCAUUCUUUUGAUUUAGCAUUUUAAUAAAUUAAUUUUAUAAAUUGAUUAUAUUUAAAGAAAAUCAUUCAUACCCCUAAACAUUAUUAUAAUAAAUUAUUACUUAUUGGAUUCAAUUAAUAUAUAUGAAAAAUCUAUUAUUCUUGAAUACUAAGACAACUUGCUUCCAAGAUAAUAUAUUGUCCAUGUCAAUUAGGUAAUUCAAUAAAUAGGAUAAAUAUUGUUAAAUUCUUGAAAUUACCGUCUAUAAUUAAAUAUGAUGUAUCUGAUUUAAAUUAUUUAUUAAUAAUUUCAUGCUCUGUUUUAAUUUGGUCUUAAAAUAUGCAAAUUAAAGUUAUAUUUAUUAAAAUAUAAAUGAUAAAUUUGAAAGAUUGAUAAAAAAUAAAUCUAUUAAAUUUAUAAAUUACUUAUUUAAAUAUAUGAAAAAUACUAUGGGUGAUUAUUCAUCCUCAAUAUUGUUAUAAGGAUAUACACCAAUAUUUUUUUCCAGAUGUUUUUUCUUCUAAUUCAUCACAAAAGUUAUUUAAAAUAAUAUUUAUAUUUCGAGUAUUUUAUUUUUACCAAAAUAUUUUUAUGUCUUAAUAUUAUUCAUCAUAUUUACUCAUCUAUAUUAUAUAUAUUCUUUAUAUAUCCAUAUAUUACAUUUCUCUUUGAAUAUCUCUAUUUUUACAAGGUGAUACUUAUUCCAAUUAACAUAAUUUCUCUGUAUAUCAUAAGAAAACAUUAGUACCUUUUAAAUUAAAUUAAUAUUUAUAUUAUAAAUCAUUUUUUUUAAAUCUUUAUAGCUUAUAUAUAUAUAUAUAUAUAUAUAUAUAUAUAUAUANNNNNNNNNNNNNNNNNNNNNNNNNNNNNNNNNNNNNNNNNNNNNNNNNNNNNNNNNNNNNNNNNNNNNNNNNNNNNNNNNNNNNNNNNNNNNNNNNNNNNNNNNNNNNNNNNNNNNNNNNNNNNNNNNNNNNNNNNNNNNNNNNNNNNNNNNNNNNNNNNNNNNNNNNNNNNNNNNNNNNNNNNNNNNNNNNNNNNNNNNNNNNNNNNNNNNNNNNNNNNNNNNNNNNNNNNNNNNNNNNNNNNNNNNNNNNNNNNNNNNNNNNNNNNNNNNNNNNNNNNNNNNNNNNNNNNNNNNNNNNNNNNNNNNNNNNNNNNNNNNNNNNNNNNNNNNNNNNNNNNNNNNNNNNNNNNNNNNNNNNNNNNNNNNNNNNNNNNNNNNNNNNNNNNNNNNNNNNNNNNNNNNNNNNNNNNNNNNNNNNNNNNNNNNNNNNNNNNNNNNNNNNNNNNNNNNNNNNNNNNNNNNNNNNNNNNNNNNNNNNNNNNNNNNNNNNNNNNNNNNNNNNNNNNNNNNNNNNNNNNNNNNNNNNNNNNNNNNNNNNNNNNNNNNNNNNNNNNNNNNNNNNNNNNNNNNNNNNNNNNNNNNNNNNNNNNNNNNNNNNNNNNNNNNNNNNNNNNNNNNNNNNNNNNNNNNNNNNNNNNNNNNNNNNNNNNNNNNNNNNNNNNNNNNNNNNNNNNNNNNNNNNNNNNNNNNNNNNNNNNNNNNNNNNNNNNNNNNNNNNNNNNNNNNNNNNNNNNNNNNNNNNNNNNNNNNNNNNNNNNNNNNNNNNNNNNNNNNNNNNNNNNNUAUAUAUAUAUAUAUAAAAAGAGAGGGAGGGGGAAACAAGUUAAAACCCCUACUAAAUAAGAUAUCUACAACAAGGCAUUCCUUUCAAAUUUCUCAAAAAAUCUAUUGUAAUGUUAGCAUGUAGAUGAUCAAAUUAAAGAAAUUUCUAUGAGUGAAUCUGAUAUAAGCAAGUUUGUCCGCACAAGCGUUUCUUUAUCUGAAGAUGUGAGAGGCAAUGAAGUGCUUGGAAAAAGUGAGAUUUGUUCAAUCAAGCCAUUUGGUCUUUAAAUUAGAAGGGACAAAGGAAUGAUCAAAAAUAGCUUACGCUACAAGCAAACUAUCAGAUUUGAGCAAAAAAUGAGUCCAAUUGUUCUUUGCAGCAAGGUCCAUUGCCAUCAUCGCACCAAUAAACUCAGCAUCAAUGGCAUUACCGCUACCAAUGAAAUUCGAGAAACUGCCAACAUAUUAACCCUUUGAAUUUCUAAUAAUUCCCUCGCACGCUACAAAAGUUGGAGUACCCACUGGCAUACCAUCUGAAUUCCAUUUAAUCCAACCUAAUGGCGGAGGCUGCCACAAAAUAUCCUUGAUGCAAGAGGGAACAAAGGGACUAAGGUGCAGAUAUAGGCCUUUAAAAUGACGAAUUCACACAUAUCGGAGUUGGCAAUAAGAGGAAAAGUUGUGAGAGAUAUGUUACAGAGAAUAAAGUCCCUACAUGAUGACCAAUUUAUAUGGAUGUCCUUGAAUUUGAUUUGAUUUCGAGCAAACCAUAUUUUAUUGAUAAUUUGGAUAAUAGCUGGUGAUAUGGCAUUAUUGUAGGCCUUGGACCAGUCCUAGUUCAUGAUGUACCACCAAUUCUGAAGAUAUUUAAUUGCUGGAAAACCUGAAACAAUAGAAGAGAACCAAUUCCAAAUGCGCUUAGCAAAGAUUCAUUUAAAAAUAAUGUGAUGUGUAGAUUCAUUUUAACUAUAACACAGACUACAUACAGAGGGGAGGAAACAAGCUUGAGAAAAAAUAUCCUCGUCAAUAGCAAGCUUGUUAUGGAUACAACGCCAAAAAAUAAGAGAUUUGGAAGGAGGUAAGUUUUAGUUUAAACCCUGCCUAUGGCAAGAUACCUUAGGUUCAUGCUUUGAAACAAACUUGUAAACAACUUUGAGCGACAAGCAACCAGAGAUCUCAUGAGACCAGACUCUCACUACUACGAAAAAUACAUAUAAUUAUGGUUGACAAAGAUAUAUAAUCACGGAGGACCAGCCGUUUUAAAGUGGCGAGUGGUUGUAUAUGUGUUAUUUACAAUCACGGCCUAGUGCCCGUUGUAGAAAACUGGAAUGCACGCUACCUAUCACCACAGUUGUGAUACGCAAAUGUUGUGAAAAGUUUAAAGGUCUUUGAUUCGAUUUCCAUAAACUCCCUUUUUAGGAUUUAAGUUAUUUUGGAUAGUGUUCAACAUAUAACCACUGUUGGAUUUAUCAACUGUGGCGAAAUUACUUGCUUUUUUAUAUAUAUUUAUGCUUUUUAUACAUUUUUCCAUUUUUUAACUUGUAUUUUUGUGAAUUAUAUCAGACCAGAAACAACAACACGCAUUUGUGAAUCAUAUUAUACCAAAAAUUGUAUUACAUCAAAUCCAAAAAUUGUAUAUUACAUCAAAACUAAAAUGGCACAAAACAACCUAUAAUUUACACAUCAUUACAUCAAAUAAUUGUAUGUUGGUGUUUUAGUUUCUUGUCUCUUAGUGUCUUGUCUCUUAGUGUCUUGACUUUAAAAACUAUAAUUUCAAAUAAUCAUAAUUGUUAGUAAAUAUAGAAAUUAUAACUUAUAAUAAAAUAUGAAUAAAGAAUAAUAUACUUACUUUUUAAUUUUCUCAUAUGUCUUCUUUAUGAUCGUUACAAAUAACACGCACAUCAUCUCUAUCAACUUCAUCAUAUGAGGUAGGCACUUGUGUUGUGUAAGAAAGAAUGGAAGGGAUAUCAAAAAUUUCAUCACUACGAGUAAUGUAUUUUCCUUGGAGAACGAUUGGCCAUCUCCCCGAUAUGUUUGAAUGGUCAAUCACAUAGAAAAAUUGUUUUGCUUGAGAAGUCAUGAUGAAUGCUUUGAUCAUAUAAGAUUCCUUGCCAAAGUCAAUGCGGGUGAAUAUGAGGUCAUCAAUUUAUACACCAUUAUUAUUUAGAAUCCACUUGUAUUUAAAUAAAGGCUCUUUGAAAAUAACAUAAUCAAUCUCCCAGAUAUCCUCAAUGACACCAUAAAAUGCUCUAGAUGUCAAUAUAUGAUUCUUAUCUUUUGAACUAGAGAAAUACAUAGAUUUGAUCUCAACUAUAACCCCACUAUUUUGCAUUGUACUACGACCGUUUUUUGAUUUUGUGUAAAAGGAAAAAUGACCAAUGUCCAAUGUAGUCUAAGUUAUCACAUUAAAUUUUGGCAUGUACAACAAUCAUUUAAUUGUCUCGGAUACACUAUCAUCCUUAGAUAUUUAUUCAAUAAACCAAUUUAUGAAUUUCUUGUUAUGCUCUAUUAACAAUAACUUGUCACUCAUUAAGGGAUUUUUUUCUUCGCAAGUGUUUUGUGAGUAGCUAUGUAAGGUUGAACUUCAUCAAGAUUAUUCAAUAUAUAGAAAUGUGCUUGAAUAACUAUAUCCCAAGCCAUUGACUUAACAUUUAAACCUUGGUACUUCUACCUUCAUAGCUGUCAGCAUGACGAGACUUUGGAACUCCUAUAGACCCGACUUAUGACAAACAGUUUGUACAAAACUCAACAACUUCUUGUGUGAUGAACAUUUCAACAAUCGAAGCUUCCGGUCAAUGAUGAUUCUUCGUAUAUCCUUUAAAGAUCUUAUAUCGCUCUAUUAGAUACAUCCACCUUACAUAAAUUGGACCACAUAAACUAUUUUCUCUGACUAGAUGAACAAGUAAGUGAACCAUAAUGUCAAAAAAUGAUGGAGGAAAAUACAUCUCUAAUUGGCACAAGAUUAUGACAGUCUCAUAUUCUAAUUAAUCUAUUUUUUUAAAAUCAAGAACUUUAUUACAUAUAGCAUUUAAGAAUAAGCAUAAUCUGGUUAUAGUUACUCUCACAUUUUUGGGUAGGAUGCCAUGGAUACCACUGGUAUAAGUUGUUGCAUCAAGACAUGACAAUUAUGAGAUUUUAAACCAAUUAACUUGAGAUAUUUCAUUGAUACAAGUUUCUUGAUGUUUGAUGAGUAACCUUGGGUAAAUUUGAUAUCAUGAAAACAUUCGUAAAAAAAUUAUUUUCCUUUUUAGAUAGAGUGUGACAUGUCGGAAGCAGAUAAGUUCUUUUUCCUGAUUCUAUUGAAGCCAAUUGUUUUCGUAUACCCAUAGCCUCCACACCGAGACGUAAAUUCUUAUUAUCUUUAGUCUUGCCUGGAAUGUUUAGAAGUAUUCCAAUCAAACUAUCGCACACAUUUUUCUCCACAUGCAUCACAUCAAGAAAAUGUCUUACAUCGAGACUUGACCAAUAUGGAAGAUCAAAGAACACAUACCUCUUUUUCCAUAUAUUUUUCUCAACUGACCCCUUUUCUUUUUCUCUCUUUCCAAAGACAAUAUUAAUUUGUUUUUAUCAUUGAUAAACUUCAUCCAUAGUUAAAGUUUUAGGAACCAUAUCAAACUCCCGCUCUCUAUUAAAAGUUUUCCUCAAUCUACGAUAAGGUUGACCAAGUUUUAUAAAAAAUUUAUGCCCAAGGUAAACGGUCUUUUUCCAAACUAAAGUUUGUGAUAACAGGUAUUAGAUUCACAUAUAGGACACACUUUAUGUAUUUUGACACUAUAUCUAUCCAAAUUACCAUAUGUAGGAAAGUCGUUGAUUGUGCAAAAUAAUAUUUUACGCAUCGCAAAAUAAUAUUGCACGCAUCUUAAAAUUUUCACCAAAAUAUGCAUCAUCAACUUUAACGCCUUCCUCCCACAGAAGUUUUAAAUCUUCAACUAAUGGACUUAGAUAAACAUCUAUGUCGUUUCUAGGUUGUUGUGGUCGAUAAAUCAUCAUACUUAACAAUAUAUAUUUGGGCUUCAUGCACAAACAAGUAGAUAGGUUGUAAAUCGUGAGAAGAAUAAACUACGAAGAAUGGUUAAUACUCAGAUUACCAAAGGGGUUCAUUCAAUCGGUGGCAAGCCUAAGCCUAAGGUUUCUUGGCUCAAUGCCAAAAUCUGGAAACAACGAAUCAAUUUUCUUUUAUUGUAAAGAAUAAGCUACAUGACGAAUGUUUCCAUCACAUUUUCUUUCAGCUUUCAUCCAACUACGAUCCAUAAUAAAUUCUGAAACUUAUAUCAAAAGAAUAAUAUGAAUGGCGCACAAAAACCUAAACCUAAAGCAUAUCUAAACCUAAAGCAUAUAUAAACCUAAUGCAUAUUCAUAAUAAUAAUAAUAAUAUAACACUAAACCUAAAGCAUAUGCAUAUCCAUCACAACAAUAUAAUAUUUAACAACAAAAAAUGCAACGAACUAUGAACCAUGAGCAAUAUGAACACAAGGUUUCAAAAACGCAAUGAACUAUAAAUCAUGAAUCAUGUACACAAAAAAUAAAAUGAUAAAAUCAACAAAAAGGGAAUAAAAGCAAUGAACAUUAGUCAUGAAAAGUAACGUAUUCUACUUCAAAGAGGAGGAAGAGACCAAAAAAUGAAUGAAGAUGGUGAACAAAAAAUAAAGAUGGUGAAAAUUUUCGUUCCAAAUGAAUGAAGAUGGAUAUUUCUCUACUACCAUCAUCUCGUUCGCUUAGGGCAUGUUAUAAAGGAAAUAAAGAAUCUAUUUUGUUUUAAUUUGACAGGAAGGCAUUUCACCAUGGUUGAUAAGAACAACCAAAGUGAAAUACAAAACAUGUUACUAUGGUGGAUAAAUAGAACCGUAGUUUAAUAUUUUUUUAAUUUUUGUUUAACUUAUGAAUUAAGGGACACACAUUUUUUUAAUAGGAAAAAAAUGGAAAAAUAUUGUUGCUGGAGCUCGAAGCUUGUAACACUUAAUUUAUCACCAGAGUUGUUUCACACAACCGUAAUAAAAUGUAAAUAAAGCAAAAAACAGACGCUUCUAAUUUGAGAUAUUACAACGGUGGACCGAAUGAUCGUAGUAAUAUAAUGUUGCCAAAAUUAUAUUUUGUAGUAAUGGCUGAUGUCUUCAGAAUCUAUCUGAGGGAUAUGAUAAGAGAAAAUGAUGUGAAGAAUAUAUAUAUAUAUAUAUAUAUAUAUAACGAGUCGCGAGGGAUAUGAUAAGAGAAAAUGAUGUGAAGAAUAUAUAUAUAUAAUAUAUAUAUAACAAGCCAAACUAUACAUAGUUAAAGUUCAGAUUAUUUAGUUGAUUAACUUAAUUUUUCUUGCUUAUAUUCAAAUCAUUUAAUUUAUAAAUCAAAUUCAACAAUUUAAUUGUCGAAUCAAGUUUCAAACUAUGUUCGAUUUGUUUCGGUUCAUUGUCAGACCUAUUGAUCAUGAAUGACAAUAUUGAUUCAAUCCAUAUUUAUGGUUAUACUUUAUGAACCAAAACAUUUAUCAUAAUUAUCGGUUUCCGAGUUAUAAUUACUUUCAAACCACUUUCAAAUCGGACAUAAUUUAAUUUUAAUUUUAAAUCGAUUUUUAAGUGGAAUGAUUACAAAAUCUAUGACACCAAAAUGAAUAUACAUCGAGAAAUUAGAAACAUCACCAUUUUUCAAAAACAAAAUAAACCCCUUGAAAUUAUUCUUAAAAUAAUUCAACAAUCCCAAAUUAAUUUAUAAAUGAAAUACUUGUAAAAAAUGAAGACAACGGUGAGAACAAGAAGAAAGUUUUCCAUUAAAAUAAAGGAGAUAUUGAGAUUAAUAUUAUAAUUGUGAUUAAAUGAAAAUUUGAAAAAUGUUUGCACUACGAUUAAACAUUUUCACUUUCCACUUAAUAAUUAAUUAUUUGAAAUGAAUCAUCACAUUAUUGAAUCAUCAUUUUAUAUAUAUACCGAAUCAGUUUUAUUUUAAGUAUAUAGACGAAGUGAUAAUAAUUAUUAGAAUUUCACACACACAAUCGUGAGUACGAAGGUUCAAAUUUUGAUCAUAAUGUCUAACCUAUCAAUAUCAAUUUCUAUCGAUUGAGUCAAAAUUUGCGGACAUAUUCCUAUAUCACUUAAUAUUAAUGAUUUGAAAUGAAUUAUCACCUUUUUUAAUCAUCACUUUAUUUAUGAGUAUAUAUAUGAGACAAAUAAAUUUGAGUAUUCAAUAGGCAAACUAAACUAUUUUUAUGGUGUCAAUUCAUUAUUUGAAUCAUAAAUUAGCCAUGAAUGUUAGAUUUUAGCAUUUGAGUUGAAUUUUAAAAAGUGGAACAAUUUUGUUAUCAAUUGGUUACGAGGAACUAGUUUUUUUUGCACACCCACCAUUUAUCAAUUUGGUUAAGAGUCUAUCGAUCACCGUCCAUCAUUUAUAUUUAUGCAUCAAAGCCUAAUAGAGUGUUGGGUGUGAUGAAGUCAGGACUAGUCCAAUCAUUUUGGAGGUCCCGUUCUAAUUUCAAAAAUGGGCCAAAUUUAAAAAAAAAUACAAUUAUAAUAAUUUAAAAAAAUAUAUCAAAAAUACAAUUAUAUAUUAAUCAAAAAUUAAUUUAAUUAUAAUUAUUUUGAGUUUUGAUCCAUCUUGAUUUUUGUAUGUAUUGAGUUUUUAUCAUAAUAUUUUUUUUAAUUAUUGAGUUUUUUUAUAACAUUUUAUUUAUUUUUGAUAAUAUUUAUAAAAAAAAUAUUUCAAAAUUUGGGGCCCUGUGCUGCAGCACUUGCACAAGGUCGACCGUGAUGGAGUGUAUUGAAAUUAUCUCAAGUCUCACGUUGAUUAAAGAUAGAGCUUGAAAUUAUUUUAUAUAAAAUGAUAUCUCUCACCCUACUAGUCGAUUUUUUAGGAAUGAGUUAGGUUAAUCUCUAAUACUAAUACAAAUCUUUGAGGCGGUUGAUGUUAUAUUUUAAUUAUGCAUUAUCCAAUCUUCGUUCAUGUCCUUUUUAAACGUGAAUUCCUUUAAAACUAACAAUUUCUCACUUCGAAUCCAACUUACUCUAUUAUCUUCAAAUUAUCAUCUCAUCUUAUUUAAAAAGUUCCUUCAAAUCUUUGAAUUUUGAGUGUAGUAUGUUGUAUAAAAAAUGGUUUAAAGAACAAUAACCUCCGCCGAUAGAGUUUUGAUGAUAAUAAAAUAAUUAAGAAUAAUUGGUACUCUAUUGUAUGUUUUCAUAUGUAAAACAAUUUUUAAUCAUCUCUAGGAAAAAGGUCAUGACCAUUUGUGUCAAGUCAAAGAAUGAUUAUUUGCCCCUACGUAAAGAGAGUGAUCACAUGUAUGCAAGUCAAUAAGGCUGACCAUCUAUACCUCAAAGAAACAUGUAUGGUUCUAUGUUUAAACAAAAUUUUGAUGAUUGAUUAAACAAAAUUAAUCAUUAUGAACAUUAUCAAAAACUGAAAUUGAAUAAAAAUGCGUGAAAUAAAAUUUCUGGUGAUUGACUCAACAAAGAUCAAAUACUAUGAACAUCAUAAAAGAAUAGACUUGAAUCAUAAAGAACAUCUUUGAUCCAAAUCUUAUGUAUUUUUACUUUAUUUAUGAACAUAUUGUAAUAUAGUGUGUAGUUAUUGUAGUGCUAAACUAUACACACACUCACAAAAAUUAUUUUCAAAGUUCAUAUUUUUUAAACUCUUCUGAAGAACUCUUUGAAAAGUCAAAAAUAUUUUUAACUAAAGAAUAGUUGAUUAUGAAGAGUUUUUUCCUUCAAAUCGACUAUGAUUGUGGUAUAAUCGAUUAUGACACAUGUCUUCCUGAUUAAUCGAUUAUGAAUUAAGCAUAAUAGGCUAUGAAUUAAUCGAUUUUGAGUGGAAAUCAGGUUGCCUCUGCGCGCAAUUGCUGAGACUAAUCCCUCGAGGCGGGUAAGACCAUAAUGGGUGGCAAAUAUCUCCCUCAGGAGAAUUUAACACUGUUAUGUAUUCAGGGUUGAGUUCGAACCCAUGACCUCUCGUUAAGCUGGAAGAGAUCCCUUACCAUCUCAUUCAAGUGCUCUUGGGUCACAUAUAUUUUUUUAGUGUUGAGAGAGAAACCCCUGUAUAGAAUAUUCUUUAAUUGUUUUCCAUUCUAAUUAUAUUGUAAAACCAAUAGUAAAUAUUUUAUCUUUAAUAUUAUACGAUAUAAAGGUUGCAACUUGAACAUGUGAUAAAAACUUGUUGUAAAUGGGUGUAAGUUAAACCCAUGAAAAAAUUCGAUGUAAAGGUUGUAAGUUGAACUUAAGCUUGAUUGUUAUUAGAAAAUAUCAAGAUAAUAUCUUUGGGGACUGGACUAGGCCUCACAGUUUUAGACUGAACUAGAAUAAAUUUGGUAUGUGCUUUCCUUCAUCUCUAUACUUUUUAUUCACUUAACUUUGUAUUUGUUAUCUUCUUUUUCUUAUACAUUUUUAUUAAAAGUUAUCUUAAAAAAUUAUUUUAAUCUUUAUGCUUUCAAUUUUAAAAAAAAAAUCACACUUCACCUAGUUUUUUGUAUUUGGAUUCAUUAUGUGCACAACAUGAUCAUUUAUAUUCUAAAGAACAUGAUCAUUUGUACUCAACGCUAAGUGACCACAUGUGCCUAAAUGACGAAAGACCUUAUAUGUUAAAUCAUCAUUCAUUCAUUUAAGUUGCAUAAAAUGUUCUCUGAACGAUCACAUCAUGACACAUGUGUUAGUAUAACGAAUGAAAGGAUAUGACCCGUAUGGAUAAUAAAGUUUAGCGACCACACCAUGACACAUAUACCAGUACAAGGAAUGAAAGGAUGGCCCGCACAAAUAAUAAAAUUUUAACGACCACAUUCCCAACAAACAAAUGAUUGUAAAUGACAAAUGAUCAACAAAUCAAAUAUUCAAGGGUUAUAUAAAGGAAUUAAAUUCAAAUGUUGAAGGUGAUCAAACUAUAUUAUCAAACAAGAACUUGAACAUUUGAAUUUUUCGUAACCUUUGCAUUUCUUGUAAUAUUAUAAAAUAACACACACUUAGACAUAAUUCUAUCCAUUCCAUAUUUUUUAUAUAAAUUAUACUCUUGAAUUAAGCUUUAUUGAAUUUACCAGUUUGUUUGAGUAUGUAAAUAAUAUUUUCUUUUAUUCUACUUUAAUCUCCUUCAAUUUUUUGUUCUUUAACCAUGUUUGAAUACGUUCACAAGAGAAAUGCCGAUUUAACUUUUUCAGCAGUCACGUCUCCGAUAAAAAUUCGACUUUGGAAUAUAGAUUCCUUUGAACGUCUUAAUCGGAUGUUGAACCGUUGGUUAAAAGGAGAAAUUACAGAUGGUGAAAAGAUUAGAAGGAUUCAAUGGCUUGAGUCCACGUUUAACCAAAAUGGAGAAGUGCGUGAAUGAGUGGAUAUUAAAACUGACAGAGACAUUCGCAUGAUGAUGCAUAGUAUGUUCAAAAUUGUUUUAAUGGUUGUAAUCGCUUAGUUAUAGUAAUGAUAUUUUAAUUGUUGUAGUUGUUUGUGUUGUUGUUUAUGUGUUGCUUGUGUGUUGAAUGUGUUAUAUUUGUUUGUGUUGGUAUUUCCUCACGAAGUUAUCAUAUGAAAUAAAUUUUGUUUUUUAUCUAUUGCAAAAGAGGUACAUGUAAAAUUAUCUUGUUGUGCUCGUUCCAACACUAGGAAGUUAGUACGAUUGUGACCUGGAUGACGACAUAAACUACAUAAUCGAACCAUUUUGUUCAUCGUAUCCAUUUUGGUUUGAAUACAGGUGCUGUUUGGGCGCCCCUUUUUCUUUCUUCGUAUGACUUCAUUGUGUCAGAGAAUGUCCCAUUGAUAUUCUGGCUAGUAAUCCUCUUUUGCAACAACUGAAAAACUAAUUUUGUAAACAUUAGAUAUGCUUAUGACUUUGUAAACAUCAGAUAGCAAGUAGGAUGAAUCCCUUUGAACUUUUGAACAUUUCGCAAUGACAUGGGAGCAUGGCGUACGAAAUGCUUGGAACUUCCCACCGUCGCACCAACCUCUAUCUAUUUCCACUCUGUAUUGUCCCAUCGGCAUGCCUUCAUUGUGAUCCAUGAAUUCAACAAUAUUGUACCAACCUUUAGUACGGUCAAACAUCGUGACCACGUCUGUGUUUGCUUUGGAAGCUUCGUGUCUAAUGAAUUUCAUUGAAGCAUCACUGAACAACUGCUCAGAUUGCAACGAACUCCAUUUGGAAUAUCUGGUCUCAAACAACGCCCCUAGCCUGAAAUAUGUUGCCUGCACUAAAGUGGUUAUAGGUAGAUUUCAGAUGCAUUUGAAGACAGAGUUCAUUGAUUCCAUAAAAUUUGUUGUCAUGUGGCCCUAACGUUGACCGCUGUCGUAUGCCUUAGUCCACUUCUCCAAAUGAUGACACAUCUAUCAAAUACCGCUGGACCUUCCACCGAACUUUCACACCAGCCACCAUUGGAUCAUGUCAGCACUCAAAGACCCCAAACACCUCAGAAAAAUCGUGGGCGUACUCGAAGACAGACUAACACACCUGGAUAUGGAACAGGGGGGGCGUUUCAAUCGGACUGGUCAUUGAGUUUCUUGUUAAUUCCGUGUAAUUUUUUAUUUUUAUAUAUAUAAUUUUUAUUUUCAGCAUUUUUUUUAUUUUUAAUAUUAACAUUUAAAUUUUAAAAAAAAACUAAUCAAGUGCAUGCGCCACAUGCACUAAAACACACACUAUGUAGCGUGUGCAUGCGCCAAUGCAUGUGGCGUCUAGGUUGUCCACCAUUGGAAGCAUGCGCCAAAGAUACUGACAUCUCCUUUAAAACUUUGGCGCAUCAGUUAUAAAAUAUGAUUAUUUUAAUUUAUUUAUUUUUUUAAAGUUAUUUAGGCAUUUAAUUUGAAAUUUAUGAUUAUUUUUUUUAAAAAAAUCUCCAUCUCUAUUCUCUUUGCAUUCUAACACUCUAUUCUUUUCAUUGUAUUAAUUGAAAAAAAAACUUUUUAAAAUAUAAAAUAAUUCAAUGAUAUUUCUUAUAUCUUUUCGACUAUAAAUGAGGGAUUUUUUUUUAAAAAUAACCAUGUUUUUGAAAUAAAAUACGAUAAUAACCAAGAUUUCAAAAAAUUUCCCAAAAUAACCAUGUUUUUUAAGGGAUGCGCCGGAGGAGUUGGCGCAUCCCUUAAAAAUUUUAGGGAGCCUUAAGGCAGGCGCCCAUGGGGUAGGCGCCCCAAUUGAACCCCCCAUAAGGGAGGCGCCCCUAGGGUUGGCACCUUAGCGUCCCACUAAGGGAGGCGCCCUUAGGGUUGGCGCAUGUGUGUGUUUGCCCUAGGGUUGGCGCCUGUGUGUGUUUUUUUUAGGUGCCCCUUCUGUGUGUCUUUUUUAGGUGCCCCUUCUGUGUGUCUUGUGUGUCUGUUGUCGGAUUUAUCGCCUCUAUAAAUACGAUCACCUUGUAUACAAAUUUUCAGUCAAAUUCAUCUCUCAGUCUAUAUUUUCACUCAAACUCAUCUUCUAGUCUAGUGCAACCACCAUUUUUAAUUUUCUUUGUUUUAACAAUGUCUAGAUAUAUUCAAAAACGAAAUGCUGAUGUAAUAUUUUCUGCCGUUGCGGCUCCGAUACAGGUUCGACUUUGGAACACAGAUACGUUUGAACGUCUUAAUCGGACGUUGUAUAGUUGGUUAGAGGAAGAAAUUGGAGAGGGUGAACGGAUUAGAAGAAUACAAUGGCUUGUGUCCACGUUCAACCAAAGCGGAGAAGUGCGUGAAUGGGUGGAUAUUAAGACCGACCAAGACGCUCGUAGGAUGAUGCAGUACAUGUUCAAAAUUGUUUUGAUGGUUGUAAUCGCAUAGUUUUUGUAUUCUAGUUGUUUUAAUUGUUUGUGUUAUUUUUUAUGAACAACUGUCUUUUCGUCACAGCCGUCUACUAUGAAGUAAAAUUAAUUUUCCAUAUAUUGCAACAGAGGUACUUUGAAAUAAAUUUAAGUUUCCAUAUAUAGCAAUAGACGUACAUCUGAAUUUAUCUGGUUGUGCUCGUUCUAACCCUAGGACAGUUAUUACGAUUGUGACCUGGUUGACGGCAUGAACUACAUAGUCUAACCAUUUUGUUCGCCAUAUCCAUUUCGGUUCGAAUUCGGGUGUUGUUAGGGCGACCCUUUUUCUUCCUUCGCAUAACUUUGUUGUGCCAGAUGAUGUCCCCUUGAUAUUCUGGCCAAUAAUCCUCUUUUGCCACUACUGAAAAACUAAUUUUAUAAACAUUUGAAAGGAUGGCGACUUUGUAAACUUCAGAUAGCAAGUAGGAUGGAUCUCUUCGAACCUUUGAGCACGUCGCUAUGACAUGGGAGUAGGGGGUACGGAAGGCUUGGAACCUUCCGUAGUCGCACCAACCUCUAUCUAAUUCAACUCUGUACUGUCCCAUUGGCAUGCCCUCAUUGUGAUCCAUGGACUCGGCAACACUAAACCAACCUUUUGUUCGGUCAAAUACCGUAACCACGUGUGUGUUAAGACCGGCGGGUCAAGUUUUUGAGUGUGUACGGAGACCCAACAUUAGUAAUCAGUCAGAUCAAAGGAGAAUGGGACACUAAGCAUCCGAAUCUCAUCCCUUAUCGAGAGCGGGUGUUGACAUUAAUCCCAUACUUUGAAGAGAUUACAUUCGAACAUAUUCCACGAGAAGAGAAUCAGUUGGCAGACGCAAUGGCUACCAUGCCAUCUAUGUUCAGAGUCAGAUGGGACAAUGAAGCUCCCAUGAUCACCAUUGAACGGUUAGAUGAACCAGUGUAUUGUUAUGAACUUAACGCUGAUGGAGUAGAGGAGAAACCUUGGUUCCACGAAGUAAAAAGAUAUUUGGAAACUCAAGAAUACACUGAAGAGGCAUCCAUCAAUGACAAAAAAUUCCUGAGGAGGUUCUCCGCUAAAUUCUUUUUGAGUAAUUGAUUAUUAUACAAACGUAAUCAUGAUUCGACUUUGCUUCGCUGUGUGGAUAAAAAGGAAGCAGAAAAGAUUAUGGAAGACAUGCAUGAUGGUAUUUUUGGGACUCAUUCUAGUGGACAUACGAUGGCCAAAAAGAUUCUGAGAUCAGGGUAUUAUUGGUCUACCAUGGAAGCUGAUUGCCACCAUCACUCCAGAACCUGUCACAAGUGCCAGAUAUAUGCGGAUAAAGUACAUGCACCUCCUGCUCCAUUGAACGUGUUGACCGCACCUUGGCCCUUUGCAAUGUGGGGCAUUGAUAUGAUUGGGGAGAUUAAACCUACUGCUUCUAAUGGACAUCGCUUCAUCCUUGUCGCUAUUGAUUACUUUACAAAGUGGGUAGAGGCCGCCUCAUUUGCUUCUGUCACCAAGAAUGUGGUGGCACGGUUCAUCAAGAAUAGUCUUAUUUGUCGGUAUGGUAUCCCUGAAAGGAUUAUCACCGACAAUGGUACUAAUUUGAACAACAAGAUGAUUACUGAACUCUGCACGCAGUUCAACGUAAAGCACCAUAACUCUUCUCCGUACCGACCAAAGAUGAAUGGCGCUGUAGAAGCUGCUAAUAAGAAUAUCAAGAAGAUCAUACAAAAGAUGACGGUGACGUACAAAGACUGGCAUGAGAUGUUACCGUUUGCUCUUCACNNNNNNNNNNNNNNNNNNNNNNNNNNNNNNNNNNNNNNNNNNNNNNNNNNNNNNNNNNNNNNNNNNNNNNNNNNNNNNNNNNNNNNNNNNNNNNNNNNNNGUCGGAGAUUUAGUGUUGAAAAGGAUCCUUCCUCCUCAGACAGAUCACAGGGGCAAGUGGACUCCUAACUAUGAUGGACCGUAUAUUGUCACCAAGGUUUUUGAUGGUGGGGCCUUAAUGCUUGCAACUAUGGAUGGUGAAAACUUCACUUCCCCUGUGAACUCAGACGCAGUUAAAAAAUACUUCGCAUAAAAUAGACCCGCUGGACAGUAAAAAGAGUAGUCCAGGCAAAAAUGGGCAUCCCGGCGAACCAAGAAAAUGAAAAGGUUCGGGCAAAAAUUAGGGACUAAAAAUGAAAAGAUUGUACACCCAGUAAGUUGAAAACCUGAAAAGGCAACUUAGGCAAAAAUGGGUAUCCCGAUGGAUUGAAAACCCGAAAAGGGCGAUCCAGGAAAAAGUUAGGGAUUAAGCGAAUGACUGCGUUCUGAGUAGUUCUGAAUCUCAUCCCAUGUCGAUAACUGGAAACUUCGAAAGGUAGGAAACAAUCCAAUCACCUUUUUCAGAAGGUUGAUCAUCUGGAGGAUCUUGAAGACGAGCGAGUCAUAGCAGAAUUGGAACCCAAUAGAAAUCCAUUUCACAUUGCCAUUAGAUUAAUUUCUGUUUUUACCUUUUGUGCGAUUACCUCUUUCCAGGGAUUGCUUCCUGAUGUAAAUGCCUAUUCAGAGGCCAUUCAAUCAAUAAAAUCAUGUUAUUCAGUAUAUCUCUGUUUUCAUUUUCAUUUUACUGUUUUGUUUAAUCAAUAAAAUCAUGUUAUUCAGUAUAUCUCUGUUUUCAUUUUCAUUUUACUGUUUUGUUUGCAAAAAUGACGUCCGAGUUUUUGAUAAACAUUGCAUCAUGAAACAUAAGAGCUUUACAGGUACAUGCUUAAUAAACAUUUAAAAUUGUUGUAAAUGUUAAGUGCUUUAGAUCGCCUAUUCAGAACAGGUACCCUCGGGGCAUUUCCUUAAGGUUCCCAGCCGAUGAUCGCGAAUGUUUUCCCCCAACAGUCGAAGUUGGUAUCUUAUCCUUGCAAAGCUGAUCAGAGCAUUGGAUUCUUCGAUCCCCAGCAGGCUCUCACUGAUGUACCUCCCCCAAGCGGUUGUUUCAGAAUAUACACUCCCCAGUAGAGUUGACAGUGCCAGACUAUAUAUCCCCAGCGGAGUUGACGGUGCCAGACUGUAUCUUCCCAGCAGAAGCGGCUGCUCCUCAGAGUUCGAUGCCAGAUCGAUAAUCCCAAUGCCAAAUCCAUGGUACCGUAUCGGUGUUUGCUUCCCCCGCUGAGUCGUCUCUCUCGCAAAUUAUGGUUUCCAGAGCCACUAUCGCUUUCCCCAGCAGCAAGUUUUCAGUGUCAUUCUCUCCCUCGUCAGAGCCUCGGUAUUUUGUUAUUUGCCAGAACACCGUGUGGCGGGUCAUUUCCCCACAGAGUUCUUUGUGCUGUGCAUCUCCAACAGCCUUGUCAGGGUCCAGAAGAUGGUGAUCAUUUCCCCAGCAGAUUCCCUUGCCUCGGCUUGGCAUUCUACCCAGCAUUCCGCGUCCAUGCAUGUAGAAUCAUAUUGCAUUGCAUCCUCCCAAAUCGCGUAGCAUUUUCGUUUUCAUGGAGCAUUACACAAUUGAAAAAUUCAAGCAUACGCAUAUAAGCAUAAAACAUUCUCGGUAUCCCAAGUGAUAAGCCAGAAGUUGUUUCCAGUACUCGGACUGAAGAUUGUUCACGACUUACCUUUAUUAUCCCUAGCAAGUGUCAUUGGCCCAUGUGCCGCCUCUAUUAUCUUUCCCUAUUUCUGCCGAUGCUGACAGGCAUGAAGUUUUUCUGGUAUUCAGACCGAAGUGGCGUUCAGGCCAGUUUUCCGAUGUUCAGAUCGAAGAAGUUUCUGACAUUCAGGUCGAUGCAACUUAUGGCAUUCAGGCCAGUUUCCGGUAUUCAGACCGAAGUGGCAUUCAGGCCAAUUUUCUGAUAUUCAGAUCGAAGUGGCAUUCAGGCCAGUUUUCCGAUGUUCAGAUCGAAGAAGUUUCCGACGUUCAGGUCGAUGCAAAUUGUGGCAUUCAGGCCAAUUUUCCGAUAUUCAGAUCGAAGUGGCAUUCAGGCCAAUUUUCCGAUUUUCAUAUCGAAGUGGCAUUCAGGCCAGUUUUCCGAUGUUCAGAUCGAAGAAGUUUCCAACAUUCAGGUCGACGUAACUUGUGGCAUUCAGGCCAGCCUCUCGGUGUUCAGACCGAUAUUAAUAAUCUCAUAUCUUCCGAUGUUCAGAUCGAAGUCAUUUCCAGUAUUCAGACUGAUGAGCGGCAUUCAGGCCAUGGUUAUUUCUGUGUUACCAUUUAUUUUGGUAUCCAGGUUAACAUUCUUUUUCGGUAUUCAGACUGACUNNNNNNNNNNNNNNNNNNNNNNNNNNNNNNNNNNNNNNNNNNNNNNNNNNNNNNNNNNNNNNNNNNNNNNNNNNNNNNNNNNNNNNNNNNNNNNNNNNNNNNNNNNNNNNNNNNNNNNNNNNNNNNNNNNNNNNNNNNNNNNNNNNNNNNNNNNNNNNNNNNNNNNNNNNNNNNNNNNNNNNNNNNNNNNNNNNNNNNNNNNNNNNNNNNNNNNNNNNNNNNNNNNNNNNNNNNNNNNNNNNNNNNNNNNNNNNNNNNNNNNNNNNNNNNNNNNNNNNNNNNNNNNNNNNNNNNNNNNNNNNNNNNNNNNNNNNNNNNNNNNNNNNNNNNNNNNNNNNNNNNNNNNNNNNNNNNNNNNNNNNNNNNNNNNNNNNNNNNNNNNNNNNNNNNNNNNNNNNNNNNNNNNNNNNNNNNNNNNNNNNNNNNNNNNNNNNNNNNNNNNNNNNNNNNNNNNNNNNNNNNNNNNNNNNNNNNNNNNNNNNNNNNNNNNNNNNNNNNNNNNNNNNNNNNNNNNNNNNNNNNNNNNNNNNNNNNNNNNNNNNNNNNNNNNNNNNNNNNNNNNNNNNNNNNNNNNNNNNNNNNNNNNNNNNNNNNNNNNNNNNNNNNNNNNNNNNNNNNNNNNNNNNNNNNNNNNNNNNNNNNNNNNNNNNNNNNNNNNNNNNNNNNNNNNNNNNNNNNNNNNNNNNNNNNNNNNNNNNNNNNNNNNNNNNNNNNNNNNNNNNNNNNNNNNNNNNNNNNNNNNNNNNNNNNNNNNNNNNNNNNNNNNNNNNNNNNNNNNNNNNNNNNNNNNNNNNNNNNNNNNNNNNNNNNNNNNNNNNNNNNNNNNNNNNNNNNNNNNNNNNNNNNNNNNNNNNNNNNNNNNNNNNNNNNNNNNNNNNNNNNNNNNNNNNNNNNNNNNNNNNNNNNNNNNNNNNNNNNNNNNNNNNNNNNNNNNNNNNNNNNNNNNNNNNNNNNNNNNNNNNNNNNNNNNNNNNNNNNNNNNNNNNNNNNNNNNNNNNNNNNNNNNNNNNNNNNNNNNNNNNNNNNNNNNNNNNNNNNNNNNNNNNNNNNNNNNNNNNNNNNNNNNNNNNNNNNNNNNNNNNNNNNNNNNNNNNNNNNNNNNNNNNNNNNNNNNNNNNNNNNNNNNNNNNNNNNNNNNNNNNNNNNNNNNNNNNNNNNNNNNNNNNNNNNNNNNNNNNNNNNNNNNNNNNNNNNNNNNNNNNNNNNNNNNNNNNNNNNNNNNNNNNNNNNNNNNNNNNNNNNNNNNNNNNNNNNNNNNNNNNNNNNNNNNNNNNNNNNNNNNNNNNNNNNNNNNNNNNNNNNNNNNNNNNNNNNNNNNNNNNNNNNNNNNNNNNNNNNNNNNNNNNNNNNNNNNNNNNNNNNNNNNNNNNNNNNNNNNNNNNNNNNNNNNNNNNNNNNNNNNNNNNNNNNNNNNNNNNNNNNNNNNNNNNNNNNNNNNNNNNNNNNNNNNNNNNNNNNNNNNNNNNNNNNNNNNNNNUGUAAUACCUCAAAAUUUGCCCCCCUCAUUCAUGCAUUCAUUUUUAGGUCAUUUAACAUUUCAUAUUGCAUUUCAUCAUGUCAAUCGGAAUUAGAUCCAAGAAGCUUGAAUAUCAUCCAAGACACUUUGUGGGUCCUAUCUGGGUGAUCAGUCAACACAAGGGAAUGGCUUGAGAUACUUCCAACAUGUUCAAAUGGGGUCUAUUCAUUAGUCAAAACGUUAAUCUUGAAGGAGCAAAAGUUUGUUCAUGAGUUGUCAUGCUCGCUAGGCGAGCAGAAUGGGUCGCCUAGCGAGUCCCAAGAAAAGCCACCAGAGGAAUUUCUUGAACUGUCAUGCUCGCUAGGCGAAGCCCACGCGUUUUGAAAAAAAACAAAAAAAAAAGAUAAAUAAAUAAAUAAAUAAAUAAAUAAAAUAUAACCGAAAAAUCUUGGACUUGGACCUCUCUCUUUUGAGCCCACAAAGUCACAAAAAUCAGAUUAUAAAUUCUAGACUUCCAUCUCCC